UUCCGUCUCUCUGGAACUGGGUCAGAGGGUGCUACAAUCCGUCUCUACAUUGAGCAGUACGAGAAGGAUUCAUCCAAGAUUGGGAGAGAUUCUCAGGAAGCACUUGCACCCCUGGUAAUUUACGUUGGAGCAAAGAUGGUGUUUGUGGUUCAUUUUUUCUUUUUGUUUCUUAGUGUUUUUGCUAAACAAAUUUAUCUUUUAUUACAGGUGGAGGUUGCUCUUAAACUAUCGAAAAUGCAGGAAUACACUAGUCGUUCUGCCCCAACUGUUAUUACAUAAACAUAUUCUGUAUGGUUUACUUUCUAGAACUAAACAAUUGAAUAAGUGUACUGUCCUUGCUGGCAGAGAUGAUGAUAUCAAGUUUUCAAUUCUGCAGUCUUUUGUCUGGAGUUGAAGUGUUUUUGUUAGAAUAUAUGAAUGUUAUGCGCCAAUUUCUUCUUCGUUUACCUUUCAUCUUGAAUGACUUGUGUAGACAUAAAUUUCUUGUCCAGAAAUUAAAAUGUUAGCAACAAUCCUAGUAAUUGAUUUUAAUCUUUGAAUGUUACGAUCUCUACCAUUCUUCUUUCAAAUAUAAAGAAAUAUUCGAGUAUAUAGAAAUAUGCAUAAUUUGACCUCUGAGUUCUUCUUGUUUCUUGUCCCUUUUUCUAAAUUAUGAGACUCCUAUUUAUAGUUGUAGGAUGACACGAUAAUAUUUGAUUGGUGAGAAUAUGCCACUUGUACGCAUGAUACAUUUCAUUGACUUUUGAUUUAAUUAGGUUUCGGCUAGGCAGAAUGGGCUUAUUAUUUGUUGCCUAAAUCAAUGGACUAAUCUCAUGAUAUUAGACUAUAAUUAAAUUUAUAUUUAUUGAAAUAUUACAAUUAAUUUAAUUAUAACAAUUCAAAAAUAUCUAUUUGAACUAAUAUAUUUUGAAUUUAUUAUAAUUCUAAUUUCUUGUGGAUUUAAAUUCAGUAAAAAUUUGCUGUAUAAAUAUUUAUUACUCCCUUUGUUCAAUUUGACUUGUUACUGUAUGACCUAGCACACCCAUUAAGAAAACAAUUGCUGAUAUAAGUAUUUUAUCAAACUAUUCUUAUUAAAUGAUGUUUAGUAUUAGGUCUUGGAAAAUAAUUUGGAGAAUAAGUAUUUAAUAUUAAGGGUAAAAUAUGGAAAAAAUAAUUGUCUUUUCUUAAUAUGUCAAUAGUGACGAGUAAAAACAAAAAUCUAUUUUAGGAAUAAGUGACAAGUAAAAGUGAACGGCGGGAGUAUUAUUAUUUAUUUAUUUUGCAUUAUAGUAAUUAUUUCCAAAAAUUUACCUUUAUCAAGAAAUGCACAAUAAUGUGCUCCAUAGAUCUAGGAAUGCUAAUGGGCGGUGCGGAUAUGGGGCACGGUGAAUUGAAGAAAAAACCUAAGCUUUGAAGCUGGUGCGGGAUAGGGACGAGGCUCUCGAUAAAAGCAGAAGUAGAAGUAGAACUCUUGAGUCUCUACUUUCAUUUUCAUUGCAAAAUUCUCCUUUUUCUUCUCCUGCAAUGACCAACAUCUUAUUUUGCUUGUGGAAUUGUGGUCAUCAAUAAUCAAUAAUGAAAAAAAUAUGUGAAUUGACAAAUAUUACUAAUGUAUUAUUUAAUAGAAGGGUAAAAAACUUAAGUACCUUAAUUACUCCUAUAUAGCAAUACUUUUUCCCCCCACUUAUAUAGCAAUAGUUUUAUUUCAAAACUAGAAUUUAUAUUAAAAAAAUUAUAAUAAAAAAGAAACGUAGAAAUAGUCAGCCACGCUUAUCUCCUUGAUUUUCUCCAAUUAUUUUACCUUCCCUGAUUUACUCAGAUUUGUUAUAUAUUCUCUCCCAUGAAAAAAAGGUCUUUAACAAAAAUAAAACUCUCUUUCUACUCUGAUUUACCGUUCAAAGAUGGAGGCCAAUAUUUUUUCAAAUUCUAAUACAACACAACGGACGAUGGGACGCAUCAAGUAUUUGAACAACUUACGAUUGAUUUGGUGUUUUUUCUCACAAUUUGUAUUUAGUCGUUGGUUUAAAUUCUAUGUUAUUGUGGUUUAGUAUAAAAUUGAUAUGCUUUGGUAAUAGUCUGGUGCAACGAUUGGCUAGAUUUAUUUCUUUAAUAAACAAUAAAAAUUAUUAAUUGUUUUUAGUAUGUUAUUAGGUUUAAUUGAUAGUGAACAUGAUGGAUAUGAUGUGGUUUAUUGGUAUUCUGUAGUAUGUUUUUAGAAACACCAUUAUUCAUCGUUUUUUGUGUGUGCAAGUGAUGGUAGAUUAUUAUGUGAUAUUGAUAGUGUAGAUAGUUUGGUGUAAUAGAUAUUAUUUAUUGUGUUUUUAUAAACACCAUAGGUCAUAACAAACUGUAUUAUGAAAUUUGUUUUAUGUUGUUUAAAUACAAUGAAAUUAUGGUAUGUUUUUUGGUAACUGAUUUGGUGAAAAUGUAAUUGAUAUGUUGCAUUCCUUAUAUAAACACCAUAAAUCAAUAAUUUGUUUUGGUGUGUGAUAUGUUGUUAUUGGUAUUUUUUUAGACCUUAUACAAAGAACAACUUCAAGUUAGUAUUCUGGUACAUCUAUUGGCGUAUUUAGUUAUCUGAGUUGGUAUAGAUAACAAAUUUUAUACCAUAAUUCUCAAAUUACUUAUGGUAUGUGAUUUGGUGUAAUUAGUAUCUUGUAGACCUUGUAGAAACACCAACUGCAAGUUAUUAUUUUAGUACAUCUAUUGGUAUAUUUUAUUGUCUGACUUGGUAUAGAUAACAAAUAUGGUAUAUAUUUUGAUAACUGAUUUGGUGAAAAUGUUUGUCUAGACCACUAAUUUAUGUCUCUUCAGCCGUUUUGAAUACCAACAUGAUUAGUAGUAAAUAUUUUGGUACAUUUAUUGGUCUCAUAAGUUGUCUGAUUUGGUUUAGCUAACAAAAUUGAAGAAUUAUUAAAUUGGUUAUAAAGCUUAUUGUUGUGAUGGUAAUUUAAUUACUUUAGGAGCACCAUUCUGCUAAUGUUGGAAAUUGAUUAAUAAUUUGCAAUUUUACAGGAAAUUACAUGGAUUAGAAUAUUGAAGAAGUGAUGUAUGAUGCAAACACCAAAUACGAAGACUUAAUUAAUACUUAUCUUCUCAAUUGGGUGUGUACAUGACCAUUUUUUAUUUAGGACUCAAAUAUGUUGUGAGUGGUCCAUCUCCACCAAUGAAGAUUCAUAAAGAUAUGGGUGUCCAAGUUUAUUUAGAUCAAAAGAGAUGCAAUUCUGAUUUCUUUUCAAAGUAUCUCUUAUGUGUAACAUGUGUGGAUAGCGCUAUGGAAGCCAUUGAGUACCAAACUGGAUAUUCCAUCGCAUGUUUUGGAAGCGGUAAUGUAACCACCAAUUGCCAGAAAGCAAUCAGGUAGACCACCAAAUAAUGAUCGUAAGAAGGGAUUCAAUGAAGGAAGAUGCAAGAGAAGUAAAGCCACUUGUAGUAAAUGUGGUACACCCAAGCAUAACAAGAAGACUUACCUCAAAUUUACAGAUCAAGCUUAACAGUAGUGUGUUGUUUUUAUUUUAUUUUUAUUUAAAACAUUAUGUAGUUGAAACUUUUAGUUUUAUGUUGGUAGGAUAAAUCGUAUUAUUGGUGUAUGGAAUGAUAUAAACAUUCAUGUUUGCGAGUUUUUGAUAUUAACUUAUCUUUUUAUGCACAAAUCUAUUUACGUAAAUGGUUAUGAAAUAAUUGUAAAUUUUAACAAUAGAAAACUAUGAUUUCUAUAAUAUUGGUGUAGUAUUCAAGAGUUAUUGUCUAUAAUAUGAUAUUGGUGUAAUUAUCGUUGUAAGGUUGGUGUGUAAUCCUAUCCUUACGAUAUAUACUAUCAAAAUUGCGGAAUCUAAUGCAUACUGCAUUACCCUUGCUACCUUCCAUAUGGAUGUUAGUACAAAUCAUUAUCAAUCAAUUUGGUCAAUACAGUAUUAUUAGUGUCAUUUGCUUGUUGAGUCCUUUUUGAGAGAUGGAAGUCGAUUGUAUCAUCUUUUAUAGGUCAAAAUACAUUUAGAAGGUCCUAUACGGUAGGAACUGUUCUCUAAUAGAAAAGGAAGAAGCGCCAGUUGAGGAACGAUCAGCUGCCCAAAGGUGGGUUGGAUUUAGAGUAUGAUACUAUUGAAAGAAUUGGAUCACAGAUUUUAAUUGGUUUACGAUUUGUAUUCUUUGAAGUAUCUUAAUCUUUCUUACGUAAACCUUUUGAUUCUUAAUCUAUAUGAUCUCUAGCACUGUUCCAGCAUCUAUUGAGCAGCUUCGUGUUUGAAAAUUUUAAAGGUAUAAGAUAACAAUGGUGAAAUCCAGAUGAACAGAAUUCAGAGAGAAUAAGAACAAAGAAGAAUGAAGAAGAAAAAGAAAGAGAGAAGUUUUAAUUUUUUUUUAAAAAUAAAACAGCAUAGGAAGUAAUAAUUUCUUGGAAAACUGAAGAGGUGGAAAGAUAAAAAUAUAUUUAAAAAACUUAGUAAUAACCAUUAAUUGGUGAGAUAAAUUUAAUACAUGAUAAUCAUUCCCCAAAAAUACGCACAGAAUCCCCAAAAAAUGAUAUACUAAAAUCGAAAAUAAAUAAGAAUUAAAAACAAAAAAUUAAUUAAAUAUGCUAUGUCUGUAAUUUAGAAACUUCAUUUGUGAUUAAAUAUAAGUAUGUGUAUAUAUUGUUAAUUAAAGUCUUAAAUAGUAUACUUUUGUAAUUUUCACUUAAUGGAAUUAUAGUUUCAUAUAAUUAUGAAUCACAACUAUAGUUUAAUGAAAUUUUCUAUUAAAUUUGGGAUCCACUAAAUUAAUUUGUAUCAGGAAUGAAAAGAUAUUCUUGCAUGAUUUGUAUACCUUUUAUACAAAACACAAUUUAUCUCUCCUCUCUUCUCAUUGAUUUCUCUUUCAAAAUCUCUCAACCAUAUCAAAUUUGAAUUUUGAACGCUCUCUUUCUCCCUCCUAAUCGUGACAUCUCAAUUUCAAAUAACCACCUAAAUGUGUUUCAACCAUUUUUUUUAUUGAUUUUCGUUUGUAUGUGAAGAAUCUCAGGUAUUUGUAUAAACCCUUUUUGUAUAUAUUAAUUUGUAUAUACUUUUGUAUUUGUAUACACAUUACUGAUUUUGUUAUUAUAUUGUACACAUCUAUGUGUAGUUGUGUAUAUACAAACUUCCAUUGCUGGUGUUUGGUUCUAUACAAUUUUUUGAGUUUUGGUUGGAUAUUUUUUCUCGUAUAUUAUCACCCACUAUACCUUAUACAAAUCAAUUGCAUAAUUUUAAGGAAUUUUUACUUAAAUAAUGUAUUUUAUUUGAUUAAUUACCCAUUUUAAUGUUACUUUAUAUUUAUUAUCAUUUAUGACAUAACUUAAGCUUUAAUAACCAUUUGAUGUUUGAUACUAUCAGAGUAUAUAUAUACUCUGGUGGUAUCAAGGAAGAAAGUCACUUAAGUGAAAACACUACUAAGUUACUCCUUGAUACCAUCAGCGUAUAUAUAUAUAUAUAUAUAUAUAUAUACUCUAUUGAUAUCAAAGUAUGAUUCAGUGAAAAUACUAUUCAAUUAUGCCUUAAUACCAUUAGGUUAUAUAUAUAUAACCUAGCUGUAUCAAGUGUGUGUAUAUAUACAUAUUUACUAGUUUUUUGACACGUGCAUUGCACGUGAUUACCAAUUUCAAAAAUAUAUGUUAUAGUAAAUAGUAUGACUUAUUUAAGCGAAGAUUUGAAUAAUCUUAGCAAAAAAUAAUAUUGCAGAUUUUUUUGCGAAUGUUCAACGUGGAUCGUCAUAUAUAUCUCUUAUUCACGUAAACCUAUGAAGAUGGUCAAUGAAAUUUUUAUUAGUUAAAUGCAAUAAUGUAUAUAUUUAUUUCAAUUUUGAUGAGGUUCAAUCAUGUAAUUAGUUUUAUCUCACUAAUAUUACCUUAUAGACAAUAUUUGCUUUGUAUUUUUCUUGUCAUCUAACCAGAUGUGCUUUACAUGUGCUUUCCACGUAAAUUUUUCAGAUGUCAUAUGAACAUAAAAAAAACUCUGAACAUUUUAAAAUAAUAUAUUUUUUGAAGUUAGAAGAUCUUGUUGACUUGAUAAUACAUUUGUGACAUAUAUAAUACUUUAAUUUAAAUACAAAUACUUACCCAAAUAUAAAUAUAUAUUUGCAUUAAUGAAAAUAUUUAUCUCAUAAAAUUAAUUAUUAAAUGAAUAAUAAAAAUUAAACUAAUACAAACUUCCACUGGCGUUAUUACAAGUCAUAUGAACUUUUCUUCAUCUAAAAUAUUGAAAUAUUAAGAAAUAUAUAAAUAAGUAAAACAAAAGGACAUUGUUUAUAUAAUAAUAACUAUUUUGAAGCAAAUUUCAUGAGAGUCUAAAUCACAUAAGUAGCAUUGAUAAAUAAAGUCAUUCUUUUGUCUUGAGCAUCAAACCAAAUCGUGACAAUUCUCUAAAUUUUGGAAAAGAUAUUCAGAAGCAUAUAUCUAUAUCACAAGAGAAAUUGUUAACAAAAAUAAAUGAAUUUAGACUACAUUAUGUUAACUUCAUACAUUGGAACAUUAUAUACUAAUGUAUAUAUUAAGCAAAAACAUAAUUAUUAUAUCAUCAAAAUUAUUUUCCUCAAGUACUCGAGGUUAUGGAAUAUACCCUCUUAGGAUAGAACGACUUACUUCAUCAGAAUAGUGGUACCUCAUAUUCCGCUAAACUUCGAACUCACUCAACGAUAAUAAAUCACACAAAAAUAUUUAAAAUUCAAGAAGAAGAAAAGUAGAAGAUUAAAAAAAUUGUGUUUGAAAAAUGAAAGGAAGUCCUUCUAUUUAUAAUCAACAAAGGGUAGUAUGAACAAAUAUUUUUUUGUGUUUAUAUGAAAAGUCGUGACUUUUCCGAGAAGUCACAACCCUUUGNNNNNNNNNNNNNNNNNNNNNNNNNNNNNNNNNNNNNNNNNNNNNNNNNNNNNNNNNNNNNNNNNNNNNNNNNNNNNNNNNNNNNNNNNNNNNNNNNNNNNNNNNNNNNNNNNNNNNNNNNNNNNNNNNNNNNNNNNNNNNNNNNNNNNNNNNNNNNNNNNNNNNNNNNNNNNNNNNNNNNNNNNNNGUCACAACCUUAGAAAAAAGUCACAACUCAUCGAAAAAGUCACAACGUAAGUUAGAGAUAUUAUAGUAAUUUAACAUUCAAGUUAGGAGUUCAUGCUUUUAAGGCAAUAUAUAUAGAUAUAUAUCUAUCUAGAUACCCUAAUGGUAUCAUUUUUACCUAAAUUUAUACUUGAUACCACCAGCGUAUAUAUACUCUGGCGGUACCAGUGGUGGAGGCAGGAAUUCUAUCAAGGGGGUUCAAAAAAAAAUUAAACACGCUAAUGUUAUCCAUAAAUAAAUGGGUCGGGUCAUAUAUGAACGGAUUGAUUAACAAACGGGUUGACAAAAAAAAUCCUUAGUUCAAAUAAUUUCUUACAAUUACAACUUAUCUUAAGAAACAAAUUUAAAGUACAUAUCUAUAAAAUGAUAAUAAAGUAGCACAACUCAUUCAAAAAGUUCUACAAGUUCUUCAAUUCCUUUAGAAUUCUCUUCGGCUCCUGAAAGUGCAAAUGGAGAGAAAACACAAAUUUAACAUUAGAAAGACUAACAAAAAACACAAAUCAAAGCGAAAAUACUAUUUCUUCACAAAAAUUCUUUUUGGCAUAAAAUGACUUCAUUACAUUUCAAAACUACACAAUCUUGAAGGGAGGUUAAGAAACCAAACAUGAGGAUAAACCUAUCAAAACAUAGUUUUACAUUUGAAAAUACAACUAGAUACAUUUUUACAAUUGUAUUCUACGAGGUUUCAUAUCUUGAAAUGUCUUAAUAAUAACAUCAUUAGAAAUCUUAUCAAAUACAUCUUUUUCUAAAUAAGGCACCAAACAACCACUAAAAAAAAUCAUCACUCAUUUGACUCCGCAAGUCAUUCUUGAUAAACUUUAUUGCCAAAAAAGCUCUUUCAACGGAGGCAGUGACAAGUGGUAAAAGUAGAGCAAGUUUCACUAAGCGAAAUACAAGAGGAUAAUUUGAAUUUUUCUUUGUCUGAACUAAUCUUUUGGAAAGAUCACAAAGCCCAUUUAGAUCAUAGAACCUUUCAUCAACAUCACGAACAUCAACAAUGUAACUUGCAAGUUGAUUCUCAAGAAUACUCAUAUUGGAUUCAUCAAAGUCAUCUGGAUAUAAUUCAGCCAUUCUCAUUACUUUUACCAUUUUUCGGUGCGGAACUGAUAGUUGAGGAAUUCAUGGAAGUGGUAGUGUGGUAGGUGAGUAUUUUAUUUUUAAAGAUUUUAUUAUAAUAUUCUUUUGUUAAGUGUCUUAAUCUUGCGGAAUUCAUGGUAAAAUGUAAUAAUAUUUAUUGUAAUAUUCUUCCGAUAGUUGUUUUAAUCUGAAUAUUUCUUUAAUAUUAUUUAUGAUAUAUUCUAGAUAUAACAUAUCUUGGGUUCUUUGGUACAUAUAUAAAUUUUCCUCCAUUAAUUGUUCUAAUAGUUUUAUAUUUUCCAUAGAUUCUAUCCAAUAUUGUAAAUAUUCGUAGUUCAUUUUAAUCUGAAUUUAUUUCUAAAUCAUACCAUUCUAUUCUUUCGGAGUCUAAAUCAUGUAGGUCUAUUUCAUACCAUUGUUGGUUUAAUAUAUCUUCUGGUUCGUUAUCAUUAAAUAUUUUUUCCCAUAUUAUUCUUCUUAAUUCAAUUAUUUCUAUAUUUUUGAGUAUAUAUAAGAUUAAAGUUUUGUAGCUUUUUAUCAUUUCAUCAUGCAUGUAUGUAGUCAUGUUCGUUGUUAUGCAGGUUUUUUAUUUUCAAUUAUUCCUUCUAUCAUAUUCAUAAUUGAUUAAAUUCAUAGAUCAUUAUGAACUAGAUUAUCUUUAUCAUGUUUUCCUGUCACUACUAGCAUCGUACUUUUAGCGGAUACUUCCUUCUUAUCAGCGCCUCAACUUUGUUUACUCCCCUAAAUGGCUUCCCUCGCCUACCGAUUUCAACAUUAGGAUGGCAUAGUAUAGAAAUUUUCUCCUUGUUUCCAGUGUGCUAAUAACUAAAAUCAUGAUUCAAUAAUUCGAAUACAUAAUAACUAACAUAAAUAUAUUCAAUCACAUAUAUGAUAUUCAGGAAUAUAUGAAAUUAGUUCUGCAUAUUUUUUGAACAAUAUACCUUUUGCCUCUUGCUUAGCCAUGCUAUCUGAAAUAUCUGAUUGGAUUUUAGAUUUUUCCAUUAGUAUUUUAAAUAUUUAUCUUAGUUGAGAGAGUAUUUUUAUGAAAGAAGUAUUUUUAUUGUCUUAGGCGUUGCCUGCCUUUUCAUUUACAUCUGCGUCCCUUUAUAUAGAAAGGAAACGACUACUACUUUACAAUUCCUACCUUAUCUCUACAGUAAUGCACAAUAAUGUGCACGUACUAUACUACUUACUCUUAUGACUUUUUUACACUACUUGAUGGAUUUCUUACAAUUUCACACUUACUCUUUACACUUGUCUUACAAUCUCAUACCUACCCAUACCUACACUUGUCCCUACACACCAUACCUACUACUUUUAAUAUACAUUGUUGACUAAUUUACACUAAUUUAACUAUUCCUACUUUACACAUGUCUACUACUAUUUCUAAUAACUUUACAUAUGUCUACUACUAUUUCUAAUAAGUUAAAUAGCUUUAUGGCUUUUACAUCUUUGCAAUAAUACAUAGAUGACUUUAGCUUUCUUGACUUCUUAUCUUGUCCAUCUUCCUUUGUCUCCUUUUAUCUUUCAUUAUCAUUCCAAGUCUACAUCUGGAAUUAUGUUAUCUUCUCCGUUGCACUUUGAACAUAUAUGAUUAGGGUAUUUAUGUCCAAUUAACUUGCAAUAUCUGGUUAGUAACUCUGUUGAAAUAAAUCCUAUCUUUAGUGCUCGUGUUGUAGGNNNNNNNNNNNNNNNNNNNNNNNNNNNNNNNNNNNNNNNNNNNNNNNNNNNNNNNNNNNNNNNNNNNNNNNNNNNNNNNNNNNNNNNNNNNNNNNNNNNNUCUACUCGAAAUAAGAAUUGAUGAAAUAAACGACGACGAUCAAGAUGAACAACAUUCGGAAACAAUUGAAACAUAUACGGAAAUUUUAGCAAACAUAGAUAAUACAAAGAAUUUAGAAAUAAAUACAGGAGACGUAGACAUGGAUGAAAAACCUAGCACAUCAGGAGUAAAAAAUCCAAAAAAAUUUAAAUCCAAAAUAUUAUAAUGAAAACUAUGAACAAUAUGGUAGAAGAAAAAAACUACAAUGAGAUAAAAGAUUAAAUAAAAAUGGACGCCUAAAACCAAUAACUGGACAACAUGAUUUUUUAGAUUUAGACUGUGUAGCAGAUAUAAAUAAAACAAUCCAAUUAUGGAUAUGAUAUAUAUCAAAACAAUUAAUAGAUAACAAAAUAGUAAUGACAGAGACACCAGGAUAUAUAGAAAGAACGCUUAUAGGAACAGUAAAAUUAUGGCUACAAAAUUUAUCAGAUGAAAGUUUAAAAACUCUAAGAAGUAAUAAAAGAUCUAAUGGCGAAUUAGCUACUACAACUAUGGAAAUAUUAUAUAAAUACGAAAUAGCUAUAAGAAAUGAAUUUAGUAGUAUGACAACAGAGGUAGAAGAACAAAAUAAAGAAAAAAUCAUAAAUUGGAAUCUAAUGACAAAAUUAGCAAUAUGUAAUAUGUGUUACAUAGAUGAAUAUACAUGUGCAUUCUGGGAAUACUUAUUAUAAAGGAACAUAUAACAUAGAACAAAGUAAAGAAAUAAGAAAAUUAUAUUUUACAAAAUUACCAGAAUCUUUUAAUUCAAAAGUAAUAAAAAAGUUGGAAUGAAGCAGAAUUAACAGAUACCUUAGGAGCUAGAAUAAAAUUCUUGCAACGAUGGUUUAUGGAACUAUGUGAAAAACAUAAAGAAGAAAUAAAAAUGGAAAAAAUAUUAGUAAAAAACAUGGCAUGUUGCAAAAAUAAAACAACACCUCAAUUUGGUUGUACGGAUAGGUAUUAUAAAAUAGAAAGAAAUAUAAUAAAAAAUACAGAUCAAAAUAUAAAUAUAAAAACCAAGAAGAAGAUAUUAUAUAAAAAACUACAAAACCAAAAGACCCUAUAGACCAAAAAGAAAACUAACGGAGUGUACUUGUUAUAAUUGUGGAAAAUUAGGACACAUAGCUAGAGAUUGUAAAUUACCUAAAAAUCCAAAAAAAAACAAAUAUCAGAAAUAAUAAUAAACGAUGAAAAAUACACGCAGAUAGAGUACAUAGAUUAUGAAUUAGAAAGUGAAGAUAGCAUAUAUGAAAUAUCAGAAAAUGAAAUGGAUAAUGAUAUAGAAAUGGAAUCAGAUAAUGAAUUCUAUAAUAUAACAAAUGACUGAAACUGAUAUACAAAUAAUAACAAAGAAGAACAUCAAGACGAAGAUCAGAGAUUGUAAAUUACCUAAAAAUCCAAAGAAAAAACAAAUAUCAGAAAUAAUAAUAGACGAUGAAAAAUAUACGCAGAUAGAAUUCAUAGAUUAUGAAUUAGAAAGUGAAGAUAGUAUAUAUGAAAUAUCAGAAAAUGAUAACGAUAUAGAAAUAGAAUCAGAUAAUGAAUUUUAUAAUAUAACAAAUGACUGAAACAGAUAUACAAAUAAUAACUAAAGAAGAACAUCAAGACGAAGAAUCUUUAGAACAAAAAAUAAUAUUUGAUAUUAAUAUAUUUGAACAAAUAAAAGGAAAAGAACUAGACCUAAGCAUAGCAAAAAUAUUCGAAAUACCAACAAUAAGAAACUGGUUUAAACGACAAAAAGAAGAAUAUUAUGUAGUGAGUCAAAGAGAACAUAUCAUAGAUUGCAAAUACACUAAAGGUAAGGCCAAAAUACCAAUAAUAAAUAAACGAAUAAUAAAUAAAGAAAUACAAGAUAUUAAGGCUAAAAAUCCAAUUAAAUAUGUACAUUUAGGAGGAACAGAAAUACUAAUAAAAGCAUGUUUUAGAGAAGGAAUAGAUACACCCAUAGAAAUAUACUUAGCAGAUGAUACGAUUAUACAACGCAUAGAAAAAAGUAUAAUAAGUGCGGUAAAAGGUAACCUCAUAUACCAAAAAUUUAAAUUUAUAAUAAGUGCUAACUACUCAGUAGCAAUAAAUGACAGAAAUAUAGAUAAAUCAUUAGUAUUAUAUUGGAAAAUGUCAGGAAUAGAACUAGCCUCGGGAAGUAAAAUAUUUACAGCUAGAUGUAAAAACUUAUAUAUUUUAACAACAAAACAUAAAAUAAAAAAAAAUAAAAUAAAAUAAAUAAAAAUAGAAGAUCCUUUUGAAAGAAUAGUCACAGUCAUAGAUAAAAAUGAUUAUAGUUAUAAUGAGAUUGAUAUAGAAGAAGAUUUAGAAAUAGUAAAAGAAAGAUUAAGCACAUAAAAAUGAAUGACCACAAACUGUGAAAUACCACAAAUCUCAUAAAAAAUGAGUACUUCAAGAAGAAUAGAUAAAACUACCAACAAAAAAUACAAAUGGAAAGAAGAAAUAAACCACAUCAUUACUACAUAACGGGAAUAAUGGAACAACGAAAAUAUUUAAUAUUAAUAGAUACAGGUCGAGAAGAAAACAAUAUUACAAGAGAAUUAGUGACGGAAGAUGAAAUAAUAACUACUGAACAAUCAUGCCCCGAACUACCAAAAGCAUUAAUAUAUACCGAAGAAACUACAGAAAAGGAAAUAAUCAUUGGAGGAGUACCAAUAGCGAUAAAAUUUAAAAUAUAUCAAGGAGAUGAAAAAUAUCAUUUUUAGGGAAUAAAAAUGGCUAGAACAAGUAAAACCAUAUAAUCUAGAAGACAAAACAGUUAACAAUAAAUUAUGAAAAUAAAAGAUUAAUAAUAAAAAGUACCUUAGUAUGAAAAUAUACAUACUUACAAAGAUAAUAAUAGAGGGAUAUUACAACAGAUAUUAUACAUCAAUUAUAGAUACAGGAGCAGAAGUUAAUAUAUGUAAAUACAAUUGUUACCAGAAGACAAAUGAGAAAAAUUAAAAACACCGAUAGUAGUCACAAGAUUUAAUAAUGAAGGAAGCAUGAUCACAUAUAAGGCAAAAAAAAUAAAAAUACAAAUAUGGGAUAAAAUAUUAACGAUAGAGGAAAUAUGUAACUUUGAAUUAACUACAAAAGAUAUGCUAUUAUGAAUGCCAUUUAUAGAAAAAUUAUACCCACAUAUAAUAACAAAAACACACUGGUGGUUCACAACUCCGUGUAAACAAAAAUAGGAGCAAAAAGAGUAAAUAACAAAAACGAAAAACAACAAGAACUUCUCCCCAUACUUGAAUUUUCUCUUUAUUUUUGUUGUUUUAGCUAUACAUGUGACAAACCCACAUUGAUAUUUGACACUUUGAUGUCACCCACUUGAAUUUACUUUGUUUUUAUUCGAUAAUUUCUCAAACUACAGCUAACUAGAAUGAAAUUCUAGCCUAACUACUAUUUUCACUACCACUCCCUUGGGACAAGUCCCCAACCGUUAGUUGUGUUACUAUACUGUCGACGAUCGUAGACACUCAUACCAUAGGUUAGCCAACCGGACCAACGGGCUCAUGAAAAUGAGGCAAACCUCACUAAUGGAACUUGAGUGAGGAGUUGUGUCGUGCCACGACGUUAAAUAAGGCGCUUCUUGGGAGGUAACCCAAGGUCGUAAAUUUAGGAUUUUACUUUUAUAAAUAAAGGUGUACUGAUGUUGCAGAUAAACCGAGGAAAGUGUGGAAAAUCUCAAGUUGGCAAGUAGAAAGUCCAUUCCAUGAUCGCUCAACAGGUUGGCAAGACCGACUGGAUCCGUCGUUUGGCUCAAUACAAGAGUUGUAUAGAGCCUGUAAAAGUCGGCGAACGCAAAAAGCAGCUCGGCACAUCGCCAACCUGCUUGGAGAUCUCGAUGCAGACCGCCGAUCUCACCCCCAAAAAAUUAAAGAUUUUGAAGAAAGGGGGAGAUAAAUGAACACUCGGCGGACCGCUGAGUGGGUCGGCAAGUUGACUAACAUCGCUGAAUGGACAAGAACUGAACGGUGAUAAAGUGCCAAAAAUCUCAGAAUUUUUAAACUUUCCCACUCUUCCUCCUUUUAAACUUCUCAACUUCACAUCAAGGUAAUAUUUUGUAGAUUAUUGCUUACCUUUAGUAUUGUAGUCGAUAAUUAGUGCUUGGAGUUGAUUACAUUGCCGCCUAGCAUUUCAAAAGUAUUUUAAUCGGCAUCUAAGGUUGGUUUUCCGAACUCCGAAUUUAUUUUUAGCAAUUUUGUACUCAUUCGCAAUGAUUUUUUAUUUGCUAUUUGCAUUUGAGGACAAAUGUUUUUAUUUGUGGUGGGGUGAGGCUCACCUUGUUUUGCUUUUUUGGGAUUCUUGUGUUUUGGUGUACAUUUGGGUUGUCUGUUUUUAAAAACUGCUUUGCGAUUGUUUGAGCUUAUGGCUUUCUUUUUGUUUAAUUGCAAAAUAAUUUUGACCCUUCCGAUAAAUUUUUGUUUUUAAAAAAUUUUCACCACCGCUUGUAUUGAAAGUGGAUGUUCUCAUACAAAUUUAAGUCUCGGUUUCGAUCAAUACCGAUGACUUAAAUAGUGCUCUCAAUCGAACAAACAUGAAUGUGCGGCUACAAUGAGACCAAAUGAAGUUACAUAUAUGUGCACUCUUUGCAUCUCGUUGUGACUAGCCAUUUAUCGAAUUGAUUUUCUUGUGAGGACCGUUGCACACUAGCGAACAUGUCUACUCUUGUUUGACUGAAGUAUCGAUGCUUUGUGUGAUUAGCUUACUUUGCACCAUUUUGCCCCAUUAGUCUGAUUGAUUUAGAAAGGUGUAAUCUUGAGAUGAUCUUAGGCAACUUUUGAAGAGUGUGAACCAAUUUAACAUAUACCUCUUUUUGUGGCCUACCCGUGAGUGCGUGAAACUCUCUUGAACACCCCUUGAACCUUACCCUUUUUUGAAAGAAAACUUGAUAAAACCUAGACCUCUAUUCAACCACCACCUGUAAUCCUCAUGACUUGUGAUGUAGUGAAUAGCCAACUUAAGCCAAAAGCUUAAGUUGGGGGUGUGGUGAAAAGGAAAAGGAGAAGUCAAGAAGUGCAAGAAAAGUCUCUUCUAACUCAUAGUGUUGCGGAAAAAUGGAAGCCCUCCAUAUAUAUAUAAAAAAAAGACAGAAUAAGAGAAAAAGAAAAAAGAAAAGAGAAAAGAAAAGAAUGAAAAAGAAGACUAUGGAAUAAAAGUCCAAAAGAAAUGGAGUUACCAAGCAAUCUAUGGAGUGAAUAAUAGUAUGACUUAGAAGCACUAGAAGAAAAAUUGAUAGAAGAAGCUGAAGAAAAUGAAGUGUUGAAAGCUCCACAAUUUAUGAGGAUCUUUAGUCACUGAGCCUAAAAUGACCAUACCUUUGCACUCAGCCCCAUUAGAAGCCUUAAAAAAACCUUUUUGAUCUUGAGUAAGACGAAUCAAAGAUCAAUUGGAAAAGGGCAAACCUAUGGGUAAAAACAUGCAUUGUGUUUCUCUUUCUGAGUGUGAGCGUUGCAUCUGAUUCCUGAUCUUAAAUUGAUUAACUUAUGUGUGUGAAUAUGGAAUCAUUCUUUGUGUGAGGGCAUUCUGAUACUGUGGUUGAGCUUGAACUUGCAUUAGUAGAAAGUAUUGUGAGCAUGAGAAUCUUUGGUAAUAAUGUGUCACAACUUGAAUCUUUCAGUACACAAUUGAUACUUGCAUGAGUAGUUUGAGUCUUGUUAAGUAUAUUCAUGAUUUAGUCUUGUGUAGCACUAUUUGAGACAUCCUAUUUGAACUGUUGAACUUGAGUUUUACUUGAGGACAAACAAAAGUUUAAGUUGGGGGUGUUGAUGAGUCCACAAAUUGGACUCAUUUAGGGCCAUAUUUUAAUAGAAUUAGUGUCCUCAAAUGCUUCUUUUAUCCCAAUAUUAUCUGAUAAGAACUCUUAAGUUUCAGGUAUUUGAAGUUUGAGUGGAAGCAUGGACACUUAGGCGCAACAAGGAACAAAAAGGCUGAAAAGAAUGAAGAAACGGAAGCCUGAGCGUCACCAAGCACACUUGGCGAAUCGCAGAAGGGACGUACUUCGCCCUUUGUUCCAGUACGCGGAGCCUUGAAGGAAGAAGAUUAAAUUGGCGGUAAAAAAGCGCAGUCGACGUGUCGCCGAACAGUUCCGCGAAGCAGUACAAUAUCGCCCAAUAGUCCAGGACGCAGAUAUGUUGUAGGCAAGCACAAAAGGCGAUGAACCAGAUGAUAGACGAAUUGCCGAGUCGAUCGGCGAUUCCCACUUACCUUGCCAAACAAUCCGCCGAAACACUAUUUUCUGAAACUAUAAAUACUAGCUCUCUAUUAGUUUUAAACAAGACCCAAACAUUAUUGUAAUUUUUCACUUUAGCUUUCAUAUUUUCUCUCAAGUUUGGAGAGGGUUUUGUGGGAGACUUGAAGAAAGGAGUUCAUCUUCCCCAAAUUGGAAGUGGGUCUUCUCUAUUCUUCUUCCUUUUGCUUAAAUCAAGGUUUAAUUUCUUAUACCCAUUUGAUUUCUCUAUCAUUUUUAGGUAUAAUUUCUUAUUUCUUGAUGUGUGGCUAAAAACCCCAUUCUUAGGGUGUGAUUUCGCAAAUAUGUGUUAAUAUUACUGUUGGGUCUUGCUUGUUGAUAGGUUAGAUGCAUAUUAAUGGUAAUUUCACCUAGUGUUUGUGGUCUAAUUUAAUGGGUUUGUAGUUUCAAAUACAAAACCACCUAUGUGUUUUCGGCUUGCCCAAGAGGGAGGUCGCGAAACCAAAACCACUAGACUGAUGCCUAAGGAGUGGGUCGACAUGAGGUUCAUCCCAAGAGGGUGAGCCCUAGUCCCAUAUCCUAACACUCAGCUCUAGAGAGUGAGUGGGGUAAGGGAUAGGUUGGUCUUCAUGCGUCAAAUGGGUGUCCGAGAGGAACGCAUUUGAAACGGGGUAGUUGCCCGGGAGGGAACUUAUUUCCAUCUAAAGCUUAGCCUAGUCACUAUUAUAUUGCAAAUUUCUUAUCGAAAGCAUGUACCCAAUGAUUUAUAUCAAUAUAUAUUUGCGGUCACACCCCAAGGACUUCUCCCCAUACUUGAAUUUUCUCUUUAUUUUUGUUGUUUUAGCUAUACUUGUGACAAACCCCCAUUGAUAUUUGACACUUUGGUGUCACCCACUUGAAUUUACUUUGUUUUUAUUCGAUAAUUUCUCAAACUACAGCUAACUAGAACAAAAUUCUAGCCUAACUACUAUUUUCACUACCACUCCCUUGGGACACAACCCCAACCCUUGGUUGGGUUACUAUAUUACCGACGAUCGUAGACACUCAUAACCGUAGGAUAGUGUCGUUGGUCACGAUAAGCAUCAGUUUCUAAACGUGACAAAGGCAUACUUUUCUAACAAAAUGUCCUUUUUAUCAUAUAAGGUUUUUAGGCAUGUUUCCAUACUUAGUACAUAUUAUGUGCUAACCCCUUCUUCCUUCUACAUCUUAAUGAGUGUAGGUUCCGGCUAAGUGACUUUCACUCUCUCCUUUGAAGAAGACUUGGAUUGCUUUCUCCAUGUAGUGGUGAGUCCUCAAGUUCGAGGAUAGGAUUUCCUAUUUUAUAGAUCUAUUAUACCUCUCAUGUUGAGACUUUUAAUGAUGUAUAAGGGCUAAGUCCCAAAAUUUGUAUUCCUAUGUUUUAGAUGGUGGUAUGAGACAAAGUCUAGACUUUUCCUAUUAUUUUCUUUUAUGAAAAGUGAAGUUGAACUUCAAUUGCAAAGUGUUAAAUUCCGCAUUAUUUCAAUGUCUUAUGUAAUGAUGAUGCUAGAGGCUUGUAUGAGACCCCUUCGUGGUCAAGUACGUCAUGUUACAUCUAGGGGGUACUCUCGGGUCAUGACAACUAUGGUAUCAGAGCAUAAGGUUUUGGGAAUAAUAUUUAGGUUGACGUCUCAUGCACCACAUCUAGUAGAUUCUUGUUCAUGAGUGUGAAGCGCGCCACACUUACGAAUAAGAGGCUAUAAGAUGCUUAGGAACAUUCCCUUAUUUCAUUACUCUUUAGUCGUGCUUAGAGUUCGUACUCUAUGAAAUCCUUUCUUCUAACCCUUCUUUUGUGAUUAUAGGAAAAUGAAUACAAGAAGGGCAAACUUAAGAAGAAGGGUAGAAGAGAUGGUGAAUGAUGUGGGAGUUCCUCCCCAAGGCCCUCAAGAUCCUCAAGGGCUUCAAGUUCCUGAUGAAGGAGCUACGACUAAUGUGGAGAUAAGGGUGGCUCUCUAAACAUUGACUCAGGUCAUGACGGCGCAAGCACAAGCCGUGACAACUCAAGCUCAAGCCAUGACAACUCAUGCAAAUAGGGAAGUUGGGCCCCAUAUUAAUCCUAAUGCAAGCACCAUGGCUUCAAGGUUAAGAGAUUUUACUAGGAUGAAUCCUCCUAUUUUCUUGGGUUCCAAGGUGAAUGAAAACCCAUAAGAGUUUUUGGAAGAGGUCUGCAAGAUAGUGGAUUCUAUGGGAGUGACUUCUAUUGAGAAAGUCGAACUAGCGGUGUAUCAAUUGAAAGAUGUGGCCCAAGUAUGGUUUACCCAAUGGAAGGAUAAUAGGGCAUUAAGAGUGGAUCCCAUAAGUUGGGAAGUGUUCAAGAAGGUGUUCCUUGAUAGGUUCUUUCCUCGUGAGAAGAGGGAAGCCAAGGUUGAGGAGUUCAUCAACCUCCGUCAAGGGGGAAUGAGUGUUCAAGAAUACUCCUUGAAAUUCACUAAGUUAUCCAAAUAUGCCCCCUCUUUGGUGUCUAACCCAAGAGAUGAAAUGAGUCAUUUUGUCACCGGUGUGUCCGAUGCUAUUGAAGAAGAGUGUCGAGCGGCAAUGCUCCAUGACAACAUGGAUAUCUCAAGGCUAAUGGUCCAUGCUCAACAAGUUGAGGAAUUAAGGCUUAGAAAGAAGAGUAGAGAGGUGAAGAGGCCAAGGCCCGACGAUGGAAAUUCUUCUAAGGGUAAGUUUGAAGAUCAAAGUGGACCAAGGUUCAAGAAGAGGUUUUCCAACCAAGGCUCCUCCAAUGCUCCAACACCCAACAAAGAUAGGAUGUCUAACCCUAAGCCUCAAGGAGGCAAUAGGGGUGGAACUUCCAUGGAUAGACCUACAUGUGCCAAGUGUGGUAAGAGACAUGAGGGGAAAUGUCUUUCCAGAAUGGGUGUGUGCUAUGGGUGUGGCAAAAGUGGGCAAUUGAAAGAUUGUCCAACUCGUGCAGCCAAAGGACUACACCAAGUGGUCCUAAUGCCGAUGCUCCCAAGAAGAAUCGCUUCUAUGCUCUCCAAUCUAGAAGUGAUCAAGAGGGGUCCCCGGACGUUGUUACCGGUAUGUUGCAAGUAUUUUCAAUUGAUGUUUAUGCAUUAUUAUACCCCGGUGUAACUCUAUCUUUUGUUACUCCGUUUGUAGCAAUGAAUUUUGAGGUCCCUCCUGAAGAGUUAAAAGAACCUUUUUUCGUGUCUACCCCGGUAGGUGAUUCGGCUGUAGCUAAAAGAGUGUAUAGGAGAUGUCCUAUCUCUUUGUCUCAUAGAGUCACUUUGGUAGAUUUGGUUGAAUUAUAUAUGUUGGACUUUGAUGUCAUUUUGGGGAUGGAUUGGCUUCAUGCUUGUUUUGCUUCCAUUGAUUGUAGAACUCGGGUAGUAAAGUUUCAAUUUUCAAAUGAGCCUGUUUUAGAAUGGAAGAGGGUAAAUUCAAUCCCUAGAGGUCAAUUCAUUUCAUGUCUAAAGGCUUGUAAAAUGAUUUCUAAGGGUUGUAUCUAUCAUAUUGUAAGAGUUAAGGACAUUGAGUCUGAGACUCCUCCUUUAGAGUCGGUCCCCGUAGUGAGGGAGUUUUCGGGAGUCUUAUUUGAUGACUUGCCUGGAUUACUCCCGAAUGGGAAAUAGACUUCGGCAUUGAUCUUUUGCCGGAUACUCAACCCAUAUCAAUUCCCACUUACCGGAUGGCUCCGGCCGAAUUAAAAGAGUUGAAGGCACAACUCAAGGAUUUGCUAGAUAGGGGUUUUAUACAACCAAGAAUAUCUCCAUAGGGUCCCCCGGUUUUGUUUCUGAUGAAGAAAGAUGGGUCCCAUAGGAUGUGUAUUGAUUACCGCCAAUUGAAUAAGGUCACUAUAAAGAACAAGUACCCUCUCCAUAGAAUUGAUGAUUUGUUUGACCAAUUCCAAGAGGAGAGUUACUUUUUAAAGAUUAACCUAAGGUCAGGAUACCACCAACUUAAGGUGAGAGAGGUUGACAUUCCUAAGAUGGCCUUUCGAACAAGAUAUGGUCACUAUGAAUUCCUAGUCAUGUCUUUUGGGUAGACCAACGCCCCGGCGGCCUUCAUGGACCUUAUGAAUAGGGUGUUUAGACAAUAUCUUGAUUCAUUUGUGAUCGUUUUUAUUGACGAUAUCUUGAUCUACUCUAAGAGUGAGGGUGAUCACAUGAAACAUUUGAGGAUGGUUUUGCAAGUCCUUAAGGACCAACAAUUGUAUGCUAAGUUUAGCAAAUGUGAAUUUUGGCUAAGGUUGGUUGCGUUUAUAGGUCAUAUUGUGUCAAGCAUGGGUAUAGAAGUUGAUCCUAAGAAAAUGGACACGGUUAAGAGCUGGCCUAGACCCCCUAAGUCCCACCGACAUCCAAAGCUUUUUGUGUUUGGCUGGUUACUAUCGGAGGUUUGUUGAGGGUUUCUCCUCUAUCGCUUCUCCAUUAACGGCCUUAACCCAAAAGAAGUCUAAAUUUGUGUGGAUGGAGGCUUGUGAGAAAAACUUCCAAGAAUUGAAGGAUAGGCUCACAUCCGCUCUGGUGUUGACCUUACCGGAGGGUACCGAUGGGUUUGUAGUUUAUUGUGACGCGUCUCGAGUGGGUUUGGGAUGUGUUCUGAUGCAACAUGGUAAGGUUAUUGCCUAUUUUUCAAGGCAACUCAAGAUUCAUGAAAAGAAUUAUCCAACUCAUGAUCUCGAACUAGCGGCGGCGGGGUUUGCUUUGAAAAUAUGGAGACACUAUCUCUAUGGGGUACAUGUAGAUGUGUUUACCGACCACAAGAGUCUUCAAUAUGUGUUUAGCCAAAAAGAUUUGAACCUCCGACAAAGAAGAUGGUUAGAACUUUUGAAGGAUUAUGACAUGAGUGGCCUUUAUCACCCCAGCAAAGCCAAUGUAGUUGUGGAUGCCUUAAGUAGAAUAUCCAUGGGUAGUGUGGCUCAUGUAGAAGAUGAGAAGAAGGAAUUGUUUCAUGUUGUACAUAGGUUGGCCCAUCUAGAUGUCCAACUUUUAGAUUCCGCCAAGGGUGGAUUCAUGGUUCACCAUAGUUCCAAAUCAUCCUUUGUGUUUGAUGUAAAGUCUAAGCAACAUCUUAAUCCUAUUUUUAUAGAAUUGAAAGAAUCAAUUCUCAAUAAGUCCAUUGAGGUUUUCUCCCAAGGGGGAGAUAGGGUGCUUAGGUACCAAGGUAGGUUGUGUGUUCUGGAUGUUGAUGGUCUGAGGGAGAAAAUAUUAGAAGAGGCUCAUGGUUCACGAUAUUCAAUUCAUCUGGGAGCCACCAAGAUGUACGACCUACGGAAAGUGUAUUGGUGGAAUGGUAUGAAGAAGGAUAUAGCGGGUUUUGUGGCCAAAUGUCCAAAUUGUCAACAAGUCAAGGCCGAGCACAUGAAACCGGUAAGUUCGCUCCAAGAUAUGAAUAUUCCCACUUGGAAGUGGGAGGAGGUGAAUAUGGAUUUUGUUGUGGGGUUUCUCCGCACUCGAAGGCAACACGAUUAUAUUUGGGUCAUUGUUGAUAGGAUGACGAAAUCAGCCCACUUCAUUCCCGUCAAGGUUACUUUUUCGGCGGAAGACUAUGCUAAGUUGUACAUCAAGGAGGUAGUGAAGUUACAUGGGGUUCCUUUGUCUAUCAUAUCGGAUAGAGGUGCUCAAUUUACUUUAUUUUUGGAAAGUAUUCUAACAAGGACUUGGUACAAAUGUUAAACUUAGUACCGCUUUCCACCCUCAAAUGGUUGGUCAAGGGGAACGGACCAUUCAAAUCUUAGAGGACAUGUUGAGGGCGAGUGUGAUUGAUUUCAAGGGUAAUUUGGAUGAUCAUCUUUCUUUGAUAGAAUUUGCCUACAACAAUAGUUACCAUUCUAGCAUUGCCAUGGCUCCGUUUGAAGCACUAUAUGGAAGAAGGUGUAGAUCUUCGGUUGGGUGGUUUGAGGUAGGUGAGUUUGCUCUAAUUGGUCCCGAACUAGUCUACGAUGACAUUGAAAAAAUUCGACUCGUUAGAGAAAGGUUGAAGACGGCCCAAAGUCGGCAAAAGUCCUAUGCCGAAAAUAGAAGAAAGGAUCUUGAAUUUGAGGUUGGUGAUUGGGUCUACUUGAAAAUCUCACCUAUGAAAGGUGUGAUGAGGUUUGGCAAGAAGGGGAAACUUAGUCCCCGAUAUGUGGGCCCAUACCAAAUCUUGAAGCGUAUUGGGAAAGUUGCUUAUAAUGUGGACUUGCCAAAUGAGUUGGCUCCGGUUCACCCGGUGUUUCAUGUUUCCAUGCUCAAAAAGUGUAUUGGUGAUCUGGUUUCCAUCCUUCCCUUAGAAGGUUUAGGAGUUGAUGAGAAUCUUUCUUAUGAAGAGGUCCCAGUUGAGAUUUUAGACCAGCAAGUGAAGAAGUUGCAAAAUAAGGAAGUAGCUUCCGCUAAAGUUCUUUGGAGGAAUCAUUUAGUUGAGGGUGCUACUUGGGAGGCCGAGGCCGAUAUGAUGUCCCGCUACCCUCAUUUUUUUCCUUCUACUGCUAUUCAAGCUUGAGGUAACUAGCUCCUCCUAAGUUUAGUGUUUUGGAAGUCAUGUGUGUUGUAUGAAUUUUCCAUGAUUUCCCUAUAUUGUGCAUGUUCUUGUGAGAAUUCAUGUUUUAGUAUAUAUUGAGUUUUCAUGACAUUUAUGUUCCUCAUGUUUGUUUGCAUUUUGUAUGAUGAUUGCAUUUUUUCACUCCAUGAGAUGAAAUGAUGAACAUGCUUAAUGAUGUGUUGAUGAGAUGACACAUUAGCUCUAUUUUGUUGUGUUAAGCUUACUUGAUUUGGAGAAGUUAGUUCCUCCCAUGCUUAUGUGAAUUAAAGAGUUGCUUGCAUGUUGAGUUAGUAGAAGUAGUUCCUACUCUCUUGUAUUGCUUUGGCCAUGUUGUGAAAAAGGAGUUGAAGUAUCCUCCUUUGAAAAUGUGCAUGAUGUGAUUAUUGCAUUUUAGUUUUUGAACGUUUUGAAGUUUCAUGCAUGAUGGGGUGCUAGUCUAGUGUUCCUAACUUAGUUUUGGUGUCUUGGUCGGCAUUCGGGGACGAAUGUUCCCAAGGGGGAGAUAAUGUAACACCCCGUAUUUCUAAUAACCUAAGCUAGAGCCUAACGUGUAGUCUAGUAGCCUAAUGAAGUCUAAAUGUAAGUUUAAGGUCCUAAAAUAAUGUUCCUAAUUUAGUACUAGGGUUCUAGUGCCUAAACAUCAAGGCACGACUCCCCUAGGUGCCCCCAAGGGUCCAAGAGGACGACCCAAGGGAAGGUCCAAAAAGUUGUCCAAAACAGCCUCAUCCACGACAGGCAACCUAGAAGGUGUAGGUUUUCAUGCCCUAUUGGUGGGGGUCGUGAGUCAACACUUGGUUUCUACCAAGUGCCCUCCAAAUUGCCUAGCCACAGCCCCAAUCCACGAGCGUGCAGUACGGUCCGUGGACAGACUCACGCCCCGUGGAUUGGUCUCAUGAGUUCAGACUUAGUCUCCUCACCAAGGCCUCACUUGAAACCUCUCUGAACCAAACAACGGUUAGCCAGGAUGGUCCGUGGACCCAUCCACGCUUUGUGGUUUGGGGUUCGUGGAUCAUGCCUAACAAACUGCCUAGGUUCGGCAUAAGGUAGGGGUGGUUUGGUAAUUCCUUAAUUAAUUAAGUUAGAUUGGGGGACGGUUAUUUUAAGUUGUUUUAGGUAUAUUAAAGUAUUUUUAAGUAUUAAAACAAGUCUUUAACCCCACACAACUCACAACUCAAAAGCAAACGCAUUUCCCUCUCAAAACAUUCUCUCUCUAAACUCCAUUGAAGAACAAAGAAGAAGCUCAAGAUUAGGGUUCAAGCUCCAAGAUUUUCACUCCAAUUUCGUGGUAUAACAUCAAUUAAGGUAUGGGGACUUUGAUUCAUGGAAAAUCUUUCUCCAUGAAGCCCUUCAAUUCUUGAUUUCGAAAUUGAAAUAUUGUUCAAAAACUAGGGUUUCUAUUCCAACCAUGGGUUCUUCCUAAAAACAAUUUUAUUAUGUUAAUUGAUUUAUAUUGUGGAUGAUUUGAAGUUUAAAGUUGAUUUUCAUUGUAAAAUUCCCCUUGAACCCAUGAACAACCCCCAUGACCCUAAUUUCAAGUAUUGUGAUAGGUGUAUUGAUGCAAAAUGAUUACUAUGAAUUGUUUCUAUGUGAAUUUAGUUAUUGAAUCUUGUUUUGUACAUGCCUAUUGUAGUAUAUUUAGGUGUAGUUGUGAGACAUGAUUCAUGACCUUGAAAAUGGGUAAAUUGUUAGGGUUUGUACAUGUUGAUGAAAGUCGUGUAUAACCUAUUGAUUCACUUAGAAAGAAAAUCUCCUAUGACUAAUGUGUAAAGUAGGGUAUUGUUGAAAGUAUUGAUCUUCUUUUACCCUUAUACUUAAUGAUGCAUGAAUAGUCUAGGAUGAUGAUGAUGUAUUGUGUUGAUUAAAAGUCUAAUUUUCAUGAAAACACUACGAAUGUAAUGUGAAAGUCUUACUCACACACUAAUGUUGAUUCUAAGGUUGAAAGUACAUUCUCGCCUUUAAUGAAUCUAUGAGUUAAUUUGAUGGAUUGUAUUGAAUGAGGGAUAGAGCAUUCCUUCACACAUGUAAAUGCAAUUCAAGACUUAAUUAUGUAUAAUUUGGGAAAUAAUGCUUCGCAUCGAGUGGUAUGGACAAUGAGGUAAAGGACAUUCCGCCAAUGCAAUAGGGAGGUUCAUCCAAAGUGAACUCAUGAGAUGGAAGCCCCUUUGCCAAAGCAAUAGGGUGGGUUUCUAGAAGCAAUCUUUCUAUCCCAUAACUAUGUGCCAACAUAGGACUUAGCUAGUGGAUCCACCUAGACGCUAUACACUUAGUCCUACCUUAGGCAAGUAGGACACCUUCUUUCGGUGUGGGGUUACACGACACUGGAUUCCAUGUAGCUCAAAUGGUCUAUGUCGGUUAUGUUAUUCUUCCCUAAAUGAAUGAUAAUGAAUGAGACAUGGACUAUGCUAUGACCUCUAGGUGAGUUUACUUAGUAGGAGUGGGGGUAUGGGACUUCACUCCCACAUUGCACAAGUGGACUUGGUAGGGUGUUGUGGGAUGGUUCCUUAUUAUUGUAAUGAGAUACGAAUACAUACGUAUAUCUUGAAUGGUUAGUUAUUAUGAAUGACUUUCCUUGUAUUCAAAGUAAUGUUCAUGAUUAUUUCUUUAUUGGUGACUAAUGAUUAUAAUGAGGUUUGAAGAUGAUAUGCAUGACCAAGGGAACUUCAAGGGGACAUUUAGUAGGGUUGGUAUUAUGGGAUGCCAACCAUACAUUGCACAAUUGUUCCUUAGAGGCUGCUAAGGUGUUUAUAUUACCAUGUAGUGAGUAUAAAUGUGAUUAUAAUUGUGUCGUACAUUGUAAAUACAUGUUGGUUUCUAAACGUGUCAAAGGCAUACUUUUCUAACAAAAUGUCCUUUUUAUCAUAUAUAAGGUUUUUAUGCAUGUUUCCAUACUUAGUAUAUAUUAUGUGCUAACCCAUUCUUCCUUCUACAUCUUAAUGAGUGUAGGUUCCGGCUAGGUGACUUUCACUCUCUCCUUUGAAGAAGACUUGGAUUGCUUUCUCCAAGUAGUGGUGAGUCCUCAAGUUCGAGGACGGGAUUUCCUAUUUUCUAGUUCUAUUGUACCUCUCAUGUUGAGACUUUUAUUGAUGUAUUCCUAUGUUUUAGAUGGUGUAUGAGACAAAGUCUAGACUUUUCCUAUUACUUUCUUUUAUGAAAAGUGAAGUUGAACUUCGAUUGUAAAGUUUUAAAUUCCACAUUAAUUCAAUGUCUUAUGUAAUGAUGAUUCUAGAGGCUUGUAUGAGACCCUUCGGGGUCAAGUACGCCAUGUUACUUAUAGGGGGUACUCUUGGGUCGUGACAGGUACAGAAAUGAUCGCAGUGGUGUGUAUGUGCCCCAGGUAAUAAAGAUCGGGCAAGUGGUAGGUCCAGCGGGUCUAAGCUGGAAGACAUGUUGGCCAAGGUCCUCCAAAACGUUGAGUCAACUGAUGCAAGGGUGAAGGAGAUGAAAGGUGAUUUCUCCAAUAUAAGUCAAUUGGUAAACUGUCACACCACCUCUAUUAAGAAAAUAGAGCAACAGUUGGGGCAGCUUUCAGUAUCACUAAAUCAAAGGAAAAAUGGUUCACUGCCUAGUGAUACAUUACAAAAUCCUAAGAAGGACGAGCAUUGCAUGGCUAUCGCCACCAGGAGUGGUAAGAUUCUUAAUAACCCAAUGUUUGCAUGUACUAAGUAUGAACAGGUGGUGGAGCAAACUGGAAGAGAGGAGGUUGAAGCUGAACAAGUAGAUGACUUGGAGGAUGCUCAACCAAUAGCGUAACCCGCAUGAGGAAAGGAAAAAGAAGUUGAGGGAACUAUGCCUUUACAGCAGAUCCCGAGACCACCUUCUCCUUUCCCUCAACGGCUUAAAAAGAAAGUCGAGAUGGGAAAUUUGCGAAGUUUAUCACCAUGCUGAGACAGGUGUCAGUGAACAUACCAUUGGUGGAUGCCCUUGAGCAGAUACCAGGAUAUGCCAAGUUCAUGAACGACUUCGUUACAAAAAAAGAGAGGUGUGAAUAUUGAUUUGACUGACAAUGUUCAUCAUUGCAGUGCUAUUGCUACCAGAUCUCUGGUACAGAAGAAAGAGGAUCCAGGUGCAUUCACCAUACCGUGCAUCAUCGGAUCAAUCAAAUUUGCAAAGGCCUUGUGUGACUUAGGAGCCAGUAUAAACUUGAUACAGUUGGCCAUCUACAAGCAACUGGGUUAGGAGUUCCAAAACCCAUAACAAUCAGGCUGAUAAUUGGACAUAGGUCAGUAAAGUGACCUGUAGGCAUCCUAUGUGAUGUGCUCGUAAAGGUGGACACGUUCAUCAUUCAAGCAAACUUCGUGAUCUUGGAUUGCAAAGUGAAUUUAGAGGUUCCCAUAAUUUUGGGGAGACCAUUUCGAGCCACAGGAUGAGCAUUGGUAGAUGUUGAGAGAGGAGAACUGAAAUUCAAACUCAACAAUGAAGAGAUAAAGUUGAAUAUUUGCAUUUCAAUGAAACAGCCAUAUUACAUGAAUGUGGUGUCUGUGAUAGAGGCUUUUGAUGAAGAAGAGAUGGGAGCAACCAUUGAGAAGAGGCUGGCUGUUGAAACAUUACCAGCCGGGUUGAUGAAUUUUGAAGAAGAUUUACGGACUGACUAUGUGGAAACUGUAAAUGCCUUACAGGGUAUGGGAACACACUCUUAUGCUCCAAAGAAACUGGACCUGGAUUUGAAAAACAGGCCAAGCCCUCCAGCAAAUCCAUCCAUUGAGGAGCCACCGGUGUUGGAAUUGAAACAAUUACCCAGUCACCUGAGGUAUGUAUAUUUGGGCUCUAACAAUACUUUGCAUGUGAUUUUGUCUGCAGAUUUAAAUGAUGAACAGGUUCAAGCUGUGAUCAAAGUGUUGAUAAGGUACAAAAGGGCAAUUGGGUGGACCAUUACUGACGUCAUCGGGAUACCUCCGGGUAUAUGCACUCAUAAGAUCCAACUUGAGGAGGACUGCAGCCCAAGCAUUGAGCACCAGCGGAGAUUAAACCCACCAAUGCAAGAGGUGGUCAAAAGAGAGAUCAUCAAGUGGUUAGAUGUUGUGGUGGUGUACCCUAUUUCUGACAGUCACUAGGUCAGCCCAGUGCAAUGAGUGCCCAGAAAUGGAGGUAUGACAGUGGUGGCGAACGCAAAGAAUGAGUUGGUCCUACAAAGACCAAUCACUGGAUGGCGAGUGUGCAUGGACUACAGGAAGCUGAACAAGUGGACCUUGAAGGAUAACUUCCCAAUGCCUUUCAUAGACCAAAUGCUUGACAGGUUGGCUGGAAAAGGGUGGUACUGUUUCUUAGAUGGAUACUCUGGCUACAACCAGAUAUCAAUUGCUCCUGAAGAUCAGGAAAAGACCACUUUUACAUGUCCUUAUGGCACCUUUGCGUUUAAACGCAUGCCAUUUGAACUAUGUAAUGCACCAUCAACUUCCCAGAGGUGUAUGAUGUCUAUAGUUUCGGACAUGGUAGAGGACACUCUAGAGGUAUUAAUGGAUGACUUUUCAGUGGUAGGUGAUACCUUUGAUGACUGUUUUCUCAAUCUUAGAAGGGCGAUAUAGAGAUGCGAGGAGGCCAAUCUAGUGCUGAAUUGGGAGAAUUGCCAUUUCAUGGUCAAGGAAAGCAUAGUCCUUGGUCAUAAGGUGUCACAAAAGGGAUUAGAGAUCGAUAAGGCCACAAUUGAGGUGAUUUAAAAGUUACCUCCACCUAUUUGUGUGAAGGGUGUUCGAAGCAUCUUAGGACAUGCCGGGUUUUAUAGGCGUUUCAUCAAGGACUUCUCAAAAAUUGCACACCCGUUGUGCAAGAUUUUGGAGAAGGAGGUGAGAUUUACUUUUGAUGAGGCAUGUCUAAGACCUUUUGAAUGCCUGAAGGAGAAGAUGAUUUCUGCCCCAGUGAUCAUUGGCCCAGAUUGGGUUGAGCCUUUUGAGGUAAUGUGUGAUGCUAGUGGUACUGCCCUAGGAGUUGUGUUAGGAAAAAUGUGCAACAAGAUGUUCCAUCCGAUCUAUUAUGCUAGCAAGUCACUAAAUGUAGCACACCGAAACUACACAGUCACUGAACAAGAACUACUUGUUGUGGUAUAUGCUUUUGAGAAAUUCAGAGCUUACUUGUUGGGUACUAAAGUGAUAGUUCACACGGAUCAUACAGCUCUAAGAUACCUAAUGGCAAAAAAAAUACCAAGCCAAGGUUGAUCAGAUGGGUGUUGCUACUUUAGGAGUUUGAUUUUGAGGUUAAGGAUAGAAGAGUGUGUGAAAACCCGGUGGCUAAUCACUUGUCUAGGUUGUAGGCUGAAAAGAAAGAGGAACUUGAGCUAGAAAUCAAUGACUCGUUCCCGGAUGAGAAGGUAUUAGCUGCUACUCUUGAUCUCAUUCCUUGGUUUGCUGAUUUUGCUAACUUCCUUGUUAGUGACUUAAUGCUUGAGGGGAUCACAUUUUAGCAAAGGAAGAGGUUCCUGCAUGAUGUGGGUAAGUAUUUUUGGGAUGAACCUUAUUUGUACAGGGUGUGUGCUGAUAAUAUCAUCAGACGAUGCAUCCCUGAAGCUGACAUGUUGCACAUUCUAGAGGCCUGUCACUCCUCUCCAAUAGGUAGCCAUCAUGGAGGCGCUCGGACAGCCCAUAAGGUACUUCAGUGUGGGUAUUAUUGGCCCACAAUUCAUAAAGAUUCAAUGGAUAUAGUGAGGAGUUAUGAUGUGUGCCAGCGGCAAGGAGCCAUCUCUCGGUGCCACAAGCUACACAUGACACCUAUUCUGGAGGUAGAGCUAUUUGAUAUGUGGGGAGUUUAUUUCAUGGGCCCAUUUGUGAGCUCCUAUGGACAAAAGUAUAUAUUGGUGGCAGUGGACUAUGUGUCCAAAUGGGUUGACGCAGUUGCUUUUCCUGAGAAUGAUGGCAAGGGUGUUGCUGGCUUUCUGAAGAAGAAUAUCUUCUCAAGGUUCGGCACACCCAGAGCCAUUAUCAGUGAAGGCGGUUCCCACUUUUGCAACAAGGUAUUCAGUGCACUUAUGGCCAAAUAUAGGGUUACAAAGCACAAGGUGGCAACUUCUUAUCAUCCGCAGACCAGUGACCAAGUGGAGGUGUCCAAUAGAGAAAUAAAGGCGAUUUUGCCAAAAAUAGUGAAUGUCAAUAGGAAAGAUUAGUCACGAAAGUUAGAUGAUGAUCUAUGGGUAUAUCGGACAGCUUCAAGAUGCAUAUUGGUAUAUCUCCAUAUCAAUUGGUGUUUGGAAAGGCAAGUCAUUUGCCAGUUAAGCUUGACCAUAAGGCACUCUGGGCAUUGAAGAAGCUAAUCUUAGUUGGGGUGAAACAGUAAACCUGAGAUUGGAUCAGAUCAAUGAGAUGGAUGCGUUCCGUUUGAGAGCAUAUGAGAGGUCUGCACUAUACAAGGAGAGGAUGAAGGUGUAUCAUGAUAAGCAUAUUGAGAAGAGAACCUUUAAUCCUCGUGAUUUGGUGUUACUUUUCAACUCCAGACUUCGUCUGUUUUUGGGAAAGUUGAGAUCCAAAUGGUCUGGACCUUCUAAGGUAACUCAGGUGUUCCAGUCGGGUGCUAUUGAGCUUGAAAAUGAUAAGGGCGACAGGUUCAAGACUAAUGGCCAAUGAUGUUUGCGUAAUCAAGACACAACUUCCAAUUCGAGUGUCUACGAUCGUACAAUAGUAAAGUAACCCAACCAAAAGUUGGUGUCGAGUCCCAAGGGAGUAGUUUUGAGAAUUAAUAGAAAAAUAAAAUUUAGUUCUAAUUAUUCAUAGCUAUAGACAUUAUCGAAUAUAAACAUACUAAAUCUAAAGGGGGUGAUGCAAGAGUCAAUUAUCAAUGGGGGGUUUUGUAUUAAUUAACAACUACAAACAACGAAAAUAUACGAAAACUAGCUAGAGAGAUGGGAUUCUUGAGAUGUGAUAGGAAUACGGGAUAAACUAAAUUGUCGGGUACAUGCUUUUGAUAGUAAAUUGUUGAGUAUUUGUGACUAGGCUAGACAAUAGAGGGGUAAAUUCUCUCUCGAGCAACUUACCCCGAAUCGAAUCGAUUUCUCCCGAACACUUAGUUGCCACUUUAAGCACAGCCUCCGCCUUAUCCUAUUCACUCUCUCGAGCUGAAUGUGUGGGAGAAGGACUAGGAUUCACUCUCUCGAGCUGAACCCAUGUCGACCCAAUACCACCGGCUAUCCAUUUAGUAGUCUUAGUUUUACGACCUCUCUCUCUCUCGCAAGCCGAAAACACUAAGAUGAAAUCAUAUUUGCAACUACAACUCCAUUAAGUUCAUACACAACUACUAAAUGAAAUCAUAUUUAAACAACAAAUAAACCAUCAACAAGCAAGACCCAACAGAUAAUCAAACCCAUAUUCACAAAAUCACACCCCAAAAUUGGGGUUUUAGCUAGAUAUUUAAAAGAGAUAAAAUUUAUACCAAUAUCAGUUUCCAUCAACUAGGUAUGAAGUAUUAAGUCUUAAAACACGUCAAGAGUGAAGAAUCUUUGAGACCCAAGUUCAAUUUCUUGGAGUUGAAACCCUUUGAAUCUUCAAGGUCUUGAAACAAAGUCUCUAAAACCCUCUAAAACUUAGACUCUCUCAAAAACUGUAAAAAGUUCUAAUAAUAGUAGUGAUAUGAUACUAAUCUAGAAAUUUAAACAAGCAUUUAUAGUGUUUGAAAAUGUGUUGCGAAGGACCCUUCGGCGAAGUUAUUCGGGAUCACCGAUACGUUCGACGAUCCGUCGUUUGGUCAAUUUCAUUGCCUUCCUGCUUUAGCCUUUAGCCUCUUUGUGUUUUGAGUCGUUGGGUGAUAUGGUAGUGCUUUGCAAAACUGUUCGGCGACACGCCGACUACUCCAUUGCAUCGCCAACUUGACCUUUUCCUUCAGGGCUCAGCGCACCGGAACAAAAGGUGAUCUCCAAGCCGAUCGGCGACUCGCCAACUGGGCUCAGCGAUCUUCAGGCCUUCAUUUCUUCGUUCUUUUUAGCCGCUUUGUUCCUUCUUGNNNNNNNNNNNNNNNNNNNNNNNNNNNNNNNNNNNNNNNNNNNNNNNNNNNNNNNNNNNNNNNNNNNNNNNNNNNNNNNNNNNNNNNNNNNNNNNNNNNNNNNNNNNNNNNNNNNNNNNNNNNNNNNNNNNNNNNNNNNNNNNNNNNNNNNNNNNNNNNNNNNNNNNNNNNNNNNNNNNNNNNNNNNNNNNNNNNNNNNNNNNNNNNNNNNNNNNNNNNNNNNNNNNNNNNNNNNNNNNNNNNNNNNNNNNNNNNNNNNNNNNNNNNNNNNNNNNNNNNNNNNNNNNNNNNNNNNNNNNNNNNNNNNNNNNNNNNNNNNNNNNNNNNNNNNNNNNNNNNNNNNNNNNNNNNNNNNNNNNNNNNNNNNNNNNNNNNNNNNNNNNNNNNNNNNNNNNNNNNNNNNNNNNNNNNNNNNNNNNNNNNNNNNNNNNNNNNNNNNNNNNNNNNNNNNNNNNNNNNNNNNNNNNNNNNNNNNNNNNNNNNNNNNNNNNNNNNNNNNNNNNNNNNNNNNNNNNNNNNNNNNNNNNNNNNNNNNNNNNNNNNNNNNNNNNNNNNNNNNNNNNNNNNNNNNNNNNNNNNNNNNNNNNNNNNNNNNNNNNNNNNNNNNNNNNNNNNNNNNNNNNNNNNNNNNNNNNNNNNNNNNNNNNNNNNNNNNNNNNNNNNNNNNNNNNNNNNNNNNNNNNNNNNNNNNNNNNNNNNNNNNNNNNNNNNNNNNNNNNNNNNNNNNNNNNNNNNNNNNNNNNNNNNNNNNNNNNNNNNNNNNNNNNNNNNNNNNNNNNNNNNNNNNNNNNNNNNNNNNNNNNNNNNNNNNNNNNNNNNNNNNNNNNNNNNNNNNNNNNNNNNNNNNNNNNNNNNNNNNNNNNNNNNNNNNNNNNNNNNNNNNNNNNNNNNNNNNNNNNNNNNNNNNNNNNNNNNNNNNNNNNNNNNNNNNNNNNNNNNNNNNNNNNNNNNNNNNNNNNNNNNNNNNNNNNNNNNNNNNNNNNNNNNNNNNNNNNNNNNNNNNNNNNNNNNNNNNNNNNNNNNNNNNNNNNNNNNNNNNNNNNNNNNNNNNNNNNNNNNNNNNNNNNNNNNNNNNNNNNNNNNNNNNNNNNNNNNNNNNNNNNNNNNNNNNNNNNNNNNNNNNNNNNNNNNNNNNNNNNNNNNNNNNNNNNNNNNNNNNNNNNNNNNNNNNNNNNNNNNNNNNNNNNNNNNNNNNNNNNNNNNNNNNNNNNNNNNNNNNNNNNNNNNNNNNNNNNNNNNNNNNNNNNNNNNNNNNNNNNNNNNNNNNNNNNNNNNNNNNNNNNNNNNNNNNNNNNNNNNNNNNNNNNNNNNNNNNNNNNNNNNNNNNNNNNNNNNNNNNNNNNNNNNNNNNNNNNNNNNNNNNNNNNNNNNNNNNNNNNNNNNNNNNNNNNNNNNNNNNNNNNNNNNNNNNNNNNNNNNNNNNNNNNNNNNNNNNNNNNNNNNNNNNNNNNNNNNNNNNNNNNNNNNNNNNNNNNNNNNNNNNNNNNNNNNNNNNNNNNNNNNNNNNNNNNNNNNNNNNNNNNNNNNNNNNNNNNNNNNNNNNNNNNNNNNNNNNNNNNNNNNNNNNNNNNNNNNNNNNNNNNNNNNNNNNNNNNNNNNNNNNNNNNNNNNNNNNNNNNNNNNNNNNNNNNNNNNNNNNNNNNNNNNNNNNNNNNNNNNNNNNNNNNNNNNNNNNNNNNNNNNNNNNNNNNNNNNNNNNNNNNNNNNNNNNNNNNNNNNNNNNNNNNNNNNNNNNNNNNNNNNNNNNNNNNNNNNNNNNNNNNNNNNNNNNNNNNNNNNNNNNNNNNNNNNNNNNNNNNNNNNNNNNNNNNNNNNNNNNNNNNNNNNNNNNNNNNNNNNNNNNNNNNNNNNNNNNNNNNNNNNNNNNNNNNNNNNNNNNNNNNNNNNNNNNNNNNNNNNNNNNNNNNNNNNNNNNNNNNNNNNNNNNNNNNNNNNNNNNNNNNNNNNNNNNNNNNNNNNNNNNNNNNNNNNNNNNNNNNNNNNNNNNNNNNNNNNNNNNNNNNNNNNNNNNNNNNNNNNNNNNNNNNNNNNNNNNNNNNNNNNNNNNNNNNNNNNNNNNNNNNNNNNNNNNNNNNNNNNNNNNNNNNNNNNNNNNNNNNNNNNNNNNNNNNNNNNNNNNNNNNNNNNNNNNNNNNNNNNNNNNNNNNNNNNNNNNNNNNNNNNNNNNNNNNNNNNNNNNNNNNNNNNNNNNNNNNNNNNNNNNNNNNNNNNNNNNNAAAACAUGGGUUCAUGGAGAUUUCUUUCUAAAAACAAUUAAUAAUCAUUAAUAACAAUAUAAAUCAUCAUUUAAAACCUUUUUUAUGCAAGAACCCAUGCUAGAAUCGAAAUUAGGACUUUAGGAUUUUUGAAGAACUUUGAAAAUACUUUGAAUUGGCUCUUUGAUUGAAAAAGGAAUCAAAGAUAAAUAGUCCCCAUACCUUAAUAUCGAGAAAGCCCACGAAAAUUGAUGAAAGAAGCCUCCAAUUGAAACCCUAGUUCUUCACCCUUCUUCUUCCUUGAACUUGAAAGAAAUAUAUGAAAGGAGAUGGGUUUCUUUUUAAUUCUAAGAGGAGUGAGUUAAAUGAAAGGAAUUAAGUCAUAAAAAGGUCUUAUAGUUGCUAGGAAAAGAAUAAAAUAGCAUAGGGUCAAUUUUGGAAAAGGACUAAGGACCCAUAAAUUCUUGACUUAAAAAUUGUGCCCAUUCUCGUCUAAACUCGUCCUUUGGACAGUGCUUCACUAUUUCAGGCAUAACUUUUUACUCCAAGGUCGGAAUUGGGCAAACUCGGUGGCGUUGGAAAGAGGACUCAAAGACCUUUCAUAGGAUAGGUAAUGGCCCACCUAAUUCAUUUUGAGCUAAGAGAUAUGACCAUUUAAAGUUGACCAUUACAACUCACUAGUUCAAAUGACUAGUUUUCGGUCGUCACGGUCAUUUCUCAUCAUUUCAUCAAGUUCUCAACUCCAAACUCACAUGUGAGGCUCUAGUUUCACUAAUUCGUUUUUAGGGUCGUUACAAUAUGGAACUGCUUCGCGGAACUUUUCGGUGACACACCGACUGCUCCAUUGCAUCACCAACUUGACCUUUUCCUUCAAGGCCCAGCACACUGGAACAAAAGGCGAUCUCCAGGCCAAUCAGCGACUCGCCACCUAGGCUCGGCGAUCUUCAAGCCUUCAUUUCUUUGUUCUUUUCAUCCGCCUUGUUCCUUCUUGCCAAGUAGUGUCCAUGCUUUGCCUUAAACUCUAAAUACCUGAAACUUAAGGAUUUUCAUCAGAUAUUGAGACAAAAUAUGCAUUUGAGGACACUAAUUCUAUCAAAAUAUAGCCCUAAUAAGUCCAAAUUAUGGACUCAUCAAAACCCCCAGCUUAAAGUUUUGCUUGUCCUCAAGCAACUCGAGUUCAGUUGUUCAAAAGGGGUGUCUCAAACAGUGCUACACAAGAAUCAAUCAUGAAUGCACACAACAAGACUCACUUUACUCAUGCAAAGAUCAAUUGUGCACUCAAAGAUUCAAGUUGUGACUCACCAAUAUCGAAGAAUCUCAUGCUCACAAUACUUGCUUCAAAUGCAAGUUCAAGCUACAACAAGUAUCAAUCCCUCACACAAAGAAUGAUUCUAUAUUCACACAAUGGUUCACAGUUUAAAGCUUCGAAAUUAAAUGCAAUGCUCACACUCACAAAGAUGAACACAAUGCAUAAUUUCACGCAUAGGUUUUCCCGUAUUUUCCAAUCAACACUUGCUUCAGCUCACUUAAGAUCACAAAGGUCUUUCAAGGCUUGUAAUGGGGUUGAGUGCAAAGGUAUGGUCAUUUAGGUUCAGUGGCUACAGUCCUUAUGAAACAAAGGUUGAAUAACACUCCCUUUCAUCUUCUUUCAUCAUUCUCAUUUAUGCUCACAAGUAGUCCUAUUAUUCACUUACCAUGGAUAGUUGGAAACCCCAAUUUUCUUUAUACUUUCAUAACUUUAUUCCACAACUUUUUCAUUCUUUUUCUUUUUCUUCUUUUUUUUUUGUUUUUUUUUUGUAUGGAAGGGUUCCAUUUUUUACAAAAUCAUGGGUAGAAGGGACUUUCUUGUAUUUAUUGAUUUGCCUUAUCUUUUCACCACACCGCCAACUUAGGCUUUUGGCCCAAGUUGGCUAUUCAAACAAACCACAACUUCAUGAGGAUUAUGGGUGAUGGAUAAAGAAAGGUCAUUGUUUUCAUCAAGUUUCUUCCAAAGAAAGGUAAGGCUCAAGGGGUGUUCAAAAGAGGUUCACACACACUCACAAGGUAGGCCACAAAAGAGGUAUAUGUCAAAUUGGCUCACACUCUUAGAAGUUGCCUAAGAUCAUAUCAAAAGAUAGUCUUACUUAGUCGACUGGACCAACGGGGUAAAUUCUAGGUGUUGUCAUGCAUGGUUCAUAGUAAGCUCAUCACACAAGGCAUCGACACUAAAGUCAAACAAGACUUCACACAUUCUCUAGUGUGCAACGAUCAUCACAAGAGACUCGAUUUAAUAAUUAGCCAACGAGAUACAAAGAGUUCACAUAUUGUCUAUGCAACUUCAUUUGGCCUCAUCGUAGCCGCACAUUCAUGUUGUUCGAUUAUAAGCACUAUUUAAGUCAUCGAUAUUGAUCAAAACCGAUACUCAAAUUUGCAAAAGAACAGCCAUAUUCAAAACAUACAAGAGGUGGCGAAUUUUUUUCCGAAAGGGUCAAAAUCAUUUGCAAUUUAAAGCAAAAGAAAUCACAAGCUCAAACCUCCCACGAAAGCAGUAUUAACACAAUUAUAACUUACAACGCAAAUACAUAAACAAAACAUGAUUCACAAAUAGCACACAAAGGUGGGCCUCACCCCACCACAAAUGAAAAACAUUUGUCCUCAAAUGCAGAUAAAAAUAUCCAAAAGUGAAAUAAAGUAAGACAGAGAGGGAGGUAAAGAGGGGGUCCUAUCUACACAGUCGCUCCAUCUGUUUGGGAAUCAGUGCCCGGUGCAUCACUCUGGUCCUGGGUCUCAGUACCUGAAGUCGCCUCAAAAGAAACAGCAGUACCAGACCCACUAGGAGCUGCCAAGGGUGGCAUGACAAUAUUGGUCUUUACCAUAUCUUCGGGAUACUCAAACUUCUCCCUAGUAGACUCAACAACAUGCAAGAACAACCCCACAAGAUUUAACCGAUUUUAAGGCAUAAAAAUAAGGGGUUUUAACAAUAUAAAUACUACGGGCAAGAUUUUCACAGGCAUAAGCAAAAACAAUUAAGAUCAGAGAGGCCCAACACACAUUACUAAGAUAAGAUCAUUGCAAAUGAGUACAAAAUUGCUUAAAAUAAAUUCGGGGUUCGGAAAACCAACCUUAGAUGUCGAUUAAAAUACUUUUGAAAUGCCAGGCGGCAAUGUAAUCCACUCCGAACACAAAUCAACGACUAAAAUACUUUAAAAUUGCAAAAAUAUAGAAACUAAGGUGCGGGUGUGAUUUUGUGACGAUUGAAAGUGAGGAAAAGUGAAGAGUUUGAAAGUUUAAACCUUUGGUCUUUUAAGAAACCAUCCAGUUCUCCCCCAUUCGGUGACAUUAGUCAUGCUCGCCGACCGACUCGACGACACGCCAAGUGGUCACUUACCUCGCUAAGUUUUACAGGAUCCUCAGUUGAUGUGGGGAUCCAAACGACGGAUUAGAUCGGGAUCGCUGACCACCAAUAAUUUCCUGGGCUCGCCGACUUUUAUAGACUCCAAUGUAAAAUUGUCUUGAGUCCAACGGAGGUCUGGGUCGGGGCCACCGACCUCUUCGGCGAUGGGCCAACUAGACCUUUUGCUCGCCAAUCUGCACUUUUCAACAACUUUCCCAUUUCGACCUACACAACCAACACACCAUUAUUUCUUAAAGCAAAAAUAAAGCGAUAAGGGGUCUUGGGUUUCCUCCCAAGAAGCACCUUAGUUAACAUCGUGGCACGACCCAAGUCCCCACUUAAGUUCCAUUAGUGGGGUUUGCCUCACUUUCAUAAGGCAACCUCUCUUCCAGCUCUGGAUAGAGACAUUCCAGAAGCAUCUUAUCUGGAAUUUCAUGAGUCGGGCACUACUGCAAGAGAGCCUUAAACCUUUGCCACAACUCAUAAACUGACUAACCCUCCAAUUUAUUGAAACUUAGGAUGAUAUCCCUUAGCAUCAUCAUUUUUAGAGGAGGGUGGUCUAUUGGGUCACCGCUAGCAGAUAUGCUCAAUUUUUCCAUUCAAAACAGCAACACAAAAACCAAAACUAAAAAUUCAGUAAGUUCAACUAUAAUUAACAAGAACAAAAUUCAACUUAACUAAAAAUUCUCAACUAACACCACUCCCCGGCAGCGGCGCCAUUUUGAUGUUUGUGUAUUCAAGACACAACUUCCAAUUCGAGUGUCUAUGAUCGUACAAUAGUAAAGUAACCCAACCAAGGGUUGGGGUAGAGUCCCAAGGGAGUGGUUUUGAGAAUUAAUAGAAAAAUAAAAUUUAGUUCUAAUUAGUCAUAGCUAUAGACAUUAUCGAAUAUUAACAUACUAAAUCCAAAGGGGGUGACACAAGCGUCAAUUAUCAAUGGGGGGUUAUGUAUUAAUUAACAACUACAAACAACGAAAAUAUACGAAAACUAGAUAGAGGGACGGGAUUCUUGGGAUGUGAUAGGAAUACAGGAUAAACUAAACUAUCGAGUACAUGCUUUGAUAGUAAAUUGUUGAGUAUUUGUGACUAGGCUAGACUAUAGUGGGGGUAAAUUCUCUCUCGAGCAACUUACCCCGAAUCGACUCGGUUUCUCUCGAACACCGAGUUGUUGCUUUAAGCAUAACCUCCGUCUUAGUCAAUUCACUCUCUCGAGCUGAAAGUGUGGGAGAAGGACUAGGAUUCACUCUCUCGAGUUGAACCCAUGUCGACCCAAUACCACCGGCUAUCAAUUUAGGAGUCUUAGUUUUACGACCUCUCUCUCAAGCAUGCCACAAACACUAAGAUGAAAUCGUAUUUGCAACUACAACUCCAUUAAGUUCAUACACAACUACUAAACGAAAUCACAUUUAAACAACAAAUAAACCAUCAACAAGCAAGACCCAAUAGAUAAUCUAACACAUAGUCACAAAAUCACACCCCAAGAAUUGGGGUCUUAGCUAGACAUUUAAAAGAGAUAAAAAUAUAUACCAAUAUCAAUUUUCAUCAAUUGGGUAUGGAGGAUUAAGUCUUAAAACACGUUAAGAGUGAAGAAUCUUUGAGACCCAAGUCCAAUUUCUUAGAGUUGAAACCCUUUGAAUCUUCAAGGUCUUAGAACAAAGUCUCAAAAACCCUCUAAAACUUAGACUCUCACAAAAACUGUAUAAAGUUCUAAUAAUAAUAGUGAUAUGAUACUAAGAUAGAAAUUUAAACAAACAUUUAUAGUGUUUGAAAAUGUGUUUCGAAGGACCCUUCGACGAAGUUAGUCAGGAUUGACGAUACAUUCGGCGAUCCGCCAUUUGGUCGAUUUCAUCGCCUUCCUGCUUUAGCCUUUAGCCUCUUCGCAUUUUGAGUCAUUGGGAGAUAUGGUACUACUUUGCAGAACUGUUCGGUGACACGUCGACUACUCCAUUGCAUCACCAACUUGACCUUUUCCUUCAGGGCUCAGCGCACUAGAACAAAAGGCGAUCUCCAGGCCGAUCGGUGACUCACCAACUGGGCUCGGCGAUCUUCAGGCCUUCAUUUCUUUGUUCUUUUCAGCCGCCUUGUUCCUUCUUGCCAAGUAGUGUCCAUGCUUUGCCUCAAACUCCAAAUACCUGAAACUUAAGGGUUUUCAUUAGAUAUUGAGACAAAAUAUGCAUUUGAGGACACUAAAUAUAUCAAAAUAUAGCCCUAAAUGAAUCCAAAUUGUGGACUCAUCAGUCAGCGAACUAAGGCAUACUUGGGUGUUUCAGAAGAAGUGAAGAUAGUUGAGGAAUGUAAACUUGAUGAGGUCUAAGUAAUCAAGUAACCUGCGUCACACCGUGACGUUAAAUUGUGCGUUGCUUGGGAGUAAACCCAAGAUUUUAUUUGGAAUUGGUGGUUUAUUUUUCUCAUUUUUCUUUGUUUAUAUAGAGUCACUGUGUUGGUGUGUGCAUGAAAGAGUGGGACUAAGAAUUGCAAGAACUCGGUGCAGACAGCUCUUCACGAGCAGUCCCACGGGCCGUGGUGUCCUUCACGGGCAACUUCACGGCCCAUCAAUCUCAGAACCAACCUAAGAAAGCUAAUGGAAUAUGCCAUCAUAUAGUUCACGAAAGAUUUCACGAUCCGUCAGUCCUUGUACUGACCGUCUAGCAUCUCAUGAACCUCAAGUGAGUGUUGUUUUUCUAAGUUAAGUUCACGGAAGACUUCACGGACCGUGGUACCUUUCACGGGAAAUUUCACGAUCCGUCAUCCAUAACGCAACAUUACCAGUAAACCGACUCGUCCCGCGCGUGAAACAAAGUUGAAAUUAAACGUAUGUAUUUCCUAAGCCCCAAGGGUCAGGUUUUCCCCAUAUAUUCUCCUCCAUAAUGGUUAUUAAAGUCAUAAUACAGUUUCUAAUCUCUAAAACUUCCUAUAUUCAUCCUUGAUUCCAACCCUAGUGUGCUAGUAUCAUGAAAUCGAAGGGAUAGUCAUAUUUCUACUUUUUGGGCAAAAAUUGUGAUCAUACUCAAAGUAAGUUCUCUAUUCACUUGUUAUAAGUUUGAUCUUAUCUAUAAACAAGUUAGAAUUAUUAUGAGUUGAUCAAAUUUUAACAAUAUUUUGUAAUAUAUUGUCGUUGUGCUAUUGAAUUGUUGUGGGGAGGUUUAAAUUGGGUAAAUUUGAUUGUUCUUGUGUAUGGGUAUGAUGAAUUUGGGAGAAAUUAGUUUUAAAAGUUGACUUUAGUGUGAAGUUGAAUUCAAAGGGGUUCCAAACAUGUAUGCCUUAAUGAAUUGUGUAAACAUAAUUGUUGAAAGAUUGAGAUCAAAUUCAUGUGCAUGUGGGUAUGUUCCUAAUUAGGUCUAAAUUGUGUUUGAUUUACAUGGCGAGUGAUGAAUGUGGUAGAAUGGUUGGUCUCAUGUGCUAAUAGAUCUCGUAACCUUGUGAAGGGUGAUGUUGGGCAUCGAGUGUUGUUGGAAUGAGAGGAACACUGAAAAUGGGCCAAGUGUAAGUCCACGAUGGGCUUCACGAACCGUGGGAUCAUCUACGGAUCGUGAAACCCCUUGUGGACCACACUUGGAAAAAAAAGAGUACAUUGGGUAGGAGCACGAUGGUCCUCACGAACUAUGGUUCACUCCACGGACCGUGAAACCAUCUGUGAUCCAUUCUAGUACACCAUCUCACACAGUCAAGUAACCAACUGGUGUUCACGAGGGUCUUCACUGACUGUGGUACCCACCACAGCCCGUCUUGACUCCCGUACAAAACAAAUCUUUUUACUUUUUGUACUUUGAUUUUUGUUUCGUAUUUUAAUUCUGUGGCCCUUCCCAAUGAUAGAUUGGGUGAGGGCUUUCUUAAGGAAAGGCGUCACGUUGUAAUUACACAAGGGAAGUCUGAGUACCCGAUAGUGUGUCAUUUCAUUGUUUUACAUUCUAAUGGGUUGUUGUAUUUCUCAGGUACUAUGGCUCCCCAAAGAAAGAACACAACCAAACAUUCCUCCCCCACUGCUUCUCAAUCGGAAGGUCAUAACGAUUUCGAGUCUAGUAGUUCCAAGGUGCAUAUUAAUACCACCAUUGAGGAUCACUCGCCUCGAGCUACUAGAGCCCAGACAAGAGGGCAAUUCUCCAGGACACUCAUCCCUAAUCUAAAGAGGAAGGUAGUAGUUCUGGUAGCAGGGAGGAAUCGGGAAGUCAAUCUGAUGCUGGUUCGGGUAUCCAGUUUGUUGAUGGUUCAGGAGGAAGUUCAGAGUUUGCAAGUGGCUCUCAGGAAGAUACAACCACACCUCCAUCUGCAGUAAACACAGAAGCUGAAACUGGAGCACAGGAAAAAGCAGGUGUUGUAGGAGAAUAUGAAGAUAUCACCAACGAUGACACCAUGGUCCUAUAUGUUAACAUCAAUGAAGUCGAUCCCGCAAAGAGACAACAGCUGAUUGAUUGUUUCCUUUUUAUGUGGACUGUGAACAGGUCUGAAGAGUUCUUUAAUAAUGGAAUUGUGAACAAGUCUGGCGGUUUCAAGAAGAGAUCAAUCAUGCAUGAGACCAGAGUGGUGGUGGCAGAUAUUAAAUCAAUCCCCGACAUUUAUUGGAUUUUUCAGUUUCAUCAGUUUGACUGGAUGAACAAUGCACCUGGAGAAUAUUCUAGCCACCUGACCAGAGAGUUUUAUUCGUCUUAUGCAACCACAUUGAUGAACUUUGUUGCAGACACUGAGACAACUAAACGUUGGCAGAAGGAAAUUGCCAGUACCUGGUCCACUCAACUCAAUUUUUGUUCGGGGCACAUCGAUUGAUAUCUCCGAGGAUACUAUCAACCGGAUGCUUCAUGGCCCAGAAUACACAGCACCAACUUCGGUUGACCUUUUUGAGGGCAAACAUCAUGCGGUCACUAGUGAUACUAAGAUAGAGGUUCAAAGUUCUCGUGAGAGGGUCUUGCGCUGGAUUGCGAGUGAAAUUACACUAGAUAGGGAGAAUGCAGUUUGGGUUACAACAACACCAACACUCAUUACUAAAGCUUCACUAUUUUUGCAGCCAAGGUUUGGUAGGCUGUUGUCUGUGCCCAAUUGAGACCUACAGGUAAUGAUAAUACUUUGUCUUUUUCACUGGCUUCUUUGGUAGCAUGCCUCACGGCUAGUUACCCGGUAAAUAUGGGGCGGAUUAUAGCGACCGAGAUGAGAGACAGGGCACUAAAUGAGAGAGUCAGACUUCCAUUUCCCUAUUUGAUAGGGAAAUUAUCUCGACAAGCAAACAUUCCCCCAAACAGGCUAGUUGGCAGAUGGGGUGAGGCAUUCAGACUCACCCAGCCUCUAAAAUCAAAGAUGUCGCUAACUAUCUCUUUGGUAAAAAAUCUGGAGCUGUCGGUUCUUUGAUUGUUGUUCCUCACGCACCAAUUGACAUUCCACAUGAGGAUAGAGGGCCAGAUCAGGGGGAGUCAUCACAACCAUCUACAGAGGCACCACCACCACCAACUUCAGCCUCACAGGCUCCAGGUACCUUUGUCACUAUUCCUAUACUUUUCCUUGAGAUAUUGGUUGCAGAUCAGUGCCAGACCAGGACCUUAGUCGACCAGAUUGUACACCGAACGCCCCAGCUAAUAGACAGAGAUGUGUUAACUGUGGAGAAGAAGAUAAAAGAUGAGAUGCGGAAGGAGCUGGCUGUUUUAAAAGAUAGGAUGGAUGGUCUGGAGAUCCUUAACCAGGAUCGAUUGUAGGCUGCUGGUUCAGUCAACACUGAAGAUUUCCAGACACAAUUGGCUAAGAUGCGAGCUCAAGUUGCUAAACUGGCAGAAAAGCCAGUACAGGUGCCCACUCCGAUCAUGCCAGAGUCCUUGUUGCAAUUGCUCAGUCAGGCACCCUCCACUUAAUCACUUGACAAUUUCUGGGGUGAACUGCCCAAGAGUAAGUCCGGCAAGAGAAAACACAAAGCCGUAGAAUCUAAUGAGGAGCUACCUGCUAACCUAUCCAGAGAGGAAAGAAGGCAACAUAAGAAAGCCCGCAGGGCAUCAAGGAAGGAAGCUAGAGAAAAAGACACUUGAGCAACAACAGUGAGAUGCAGUGUUAGUUGGAGCUUCUGAUAGCGGAGUACCUGAACCGGUGAGUGGUAGCCAACCUGAUCCUGCGCAAGUUUCUGAGAGUGCACCCGUUGAUAAGGGUGACAACGUUGAUCCAGCAACCGGCGCCUAGAGCGUCGUAGGUAUGACCCCUCCUCAUAGCCCUGUUUUGUUUUUCUUCUUUGACUUUGAGGGGAUGGUGAGCAACCGGCCAUUCUAGCUGUUAGGAUGAAUGGAGGUUGACUCUGUGUUUAUUGUGAAAACUGUUAUUGUUUUGUUUUGUGUUUUGAUAAAAAUAUGAAGUGUUUGUGUGUUGAGCUGUGCAGCAGCUAAUCUGUGUGAAAUGAUUACAUUUGACUGUUAGGAUCUUUAGAUGACAUUUUAGGUACUCACUUGUUGAACACUGCUAAUCUGGAAAUAAAUUGGUGAACCAAGAAACUGAAGAAUGUAGUCUUGUGUCAUGUGUGUGUGAGGUUUGCUAGAAGUCUAACGCUAGGAGCAGAAGCUAGAACUUGCCCGAGUUGUCUUGCUUAAAUUGGAGAAUAACCGGAUAGGAAAGGAUUAGUAGGCCAUCCUUAUUAAGCCAUAAAAAAGCCAAAAAUAAAGCAACCAAAUAAAAACCUUAUCACUUGAACCCGAUUUGAGCCUGAAAAUCAGUUUUGUUCUUACCCAGUAAAUAUCAUAUCAUUUGGUCUCCGAAGAUACGAUGUCAACUCAGGCCAAAAGCCUAAGUUGAGGGUGAUUGCAAUUUGAGCAUAAAGAAGAACUGAAAAAGAAGGUUCAACCAGUGAGCUGAAUGCAUAUCAAAAAAAAAAAUGGCUGCUGGGAUGUGCUGAAAUGAAGAAAAAGAGGGAAUCGCUCAAAAAAGAGUUGUGCAAACGAAUAUAUGGAGAACCAAGGGACUAGUCACUCACAAACCCAAAUAUUCAUUCCCUAGCCUAAGCCUAUGUUACAAGCCGAUAAAUUCCUAUAGUGAUCCUAUUCCGGCUGUUUGAAAGAUAGAGUGUAGAAAGCAAGGGCAAGCCUAUGGUAGUUUGUUGUUAGUGUUAGAAGUUCUUUGAGAGUGCGAGCGUAGAACAUAAUCCCAAAUUAUCAUGAGUGAGGGACUUCUUUGGUGUGAGGACACAGUGAUUGAUUUGAGAGUAGAUUGUGUUAGAUGAUAGUUCACAGGCAUAAGCAUGGUCGACUGUGAGUAAUGAGAUGUCAUAUAUUGAUCCUUGCAUGUUAGAUUGAUGGUUUUGGAUACAAAAUUGUGUUUGAGAUGGCUGUUGCGUUGUUUCAAAAAGUGUUUGAAUGAUUUCAGGACUGAAUGUAUUGUUUUCUCAUCACUUGAGGGACAAGUAAUAGUUCUAAGUUGAGGGUGUUGAUGUGCCGCAAAAUCUUGGCACAUUUGAUGCUUGAAAACUAAGGAUUAAUACUAGAAUCGAGUGUAUUUAUGUGGAUAUAAUGUGUUUGGUAGUGUUGGUACAGGUGAAACAGGUGGAAGUUAAAGAAGAUAAAAAAAAUAAGGAAAUUCAGUGAAGGUUGGAAGUAAAGACAACGGACGACCUCACGGGUCGUGGUCUUCACUACUGAUCGUGAGAUGCUCGUAGAGUUGAACCAGUGUUGAGGAUUAGAGGAGCUAAAAGAGAAUUGAACCAAGUGAAAACCACGAACAACCCCACAAGUUGUGGUCCUCACAACGAUUCGUGGUGAGAGUCGUGGUGAUGAUCCAGUGAAGAGGCAUUAUAAAGUUGAAGAGGGAAUUCAUCAAGUGAAUACCAUGGAAAACUACAGAGACCAUGAUCAUUGUCACGAGUCGUGGUAGUGUCCGUGGAGAUGAUCCAGUGAAGAGGCAUUAUAAAGUUGAAGAGGGAAUUCAUCAAGUGAAGACCACGAACAACUACACAGACCGUGGCCAUUGUCACGAGUCGUGGUAGUGUCCAUGGUGAUGAUCCAGUGUACAGGCCUUGAAAGAACUGUUUUGGGUGAGUCCAAGUGAAGACCACGAAGGGCUUCACGGACCAUGAAGCCCUUGACGGGUCGUGGAAGCAGUUGUGAAGUGUCCGACAGUUCAGUCCUACUUCGAGUAGGACUCUUUUUAAAACACGUUAUUUGAAUCAAUUAGGUCGUUUUUAGUUUUUACCUCGUCUUAUCUGGAACGAAGAACAAGUUUUCAAAUAUUCUUAGCUUUUGGUUUUGAAGAUUAACAUCGAAUUAAGUUUGUAAGUUGAAUUUACGGUUCUUGAACUAUCAAAGUGCGUAUCGAUUUGCUUAUUUUCGUAAGUAUAUUUCUCGUCAUAUUUUCAUUAUAUUCUUCUGUAUGUUUACGUGAAAUCAUGAGUGGCUAAAUACCACAACUGGGAUUGUGGGAUCUAUGACGUAAAUCUAAGUGUAAUUCCGUAAAACCAGUGAAAGGCGAUUUACAUUUGCAAAGUAUAAUUUAGCUUUCGUUAUUCAUGUAUUCUAAUGAGUAUGCGCAUUAGGGUGAGCCUGUAUCUAUCGUUUUUUCCAGAGAAGAAUGAUAGUUAGGAAAAAGCUAAAUUAACCUAAAGAAAUGGAGUCAAAGUUCGAGUUCGAGAGAAAAGAACUUUAACACUAUUGUAAGUGAGAGUAAAACGUGUAACACUCUAGGACCGAGAGGAAUUGAGUGAAAAUUAUCUAAUUAGACUGAGAAGUAUCAGAUAUAUUUAGCUCGCCUGUAUUUUGUAGAGAUAAAUUGCUUGAAACUCAAAUACGGAAGAACAUUAGAUGCAACGUUAUGGGGAACACAAUCCUAGUUUCAUUUAAUUAUCGAAACAACUUUAGAAUUAAUAUUCUGUUAAUAUCUAAAUUAGUUCUUAGUUAACAACUUUGGUUACUAGAGCUUUAUAGCUAAACCCAUUUUACUUUCCGUAACUGUUUUCUUAGGAAAUAAUAAUGACAUUUGAGUAAAACGAGAUAGUGAAAUAAUUUUUGUAAAGAAAUUCUCUGUUGGAUUUAUUUUAGCUCACGUUGAGUUCUAUAAAUUGACUUCGACCAUUUAUACCUCUUAAUUGAGGUGCAAGUUUGGAUGUAUCACCGGUCCUUGAAGUAGCUCCUCUAGGUGCAGCCAUGUCUGGUAGAGCAACUGAAGAAGAUUGGGCCCUCUUGCCCUAUUUCCAUUUCCCUGCCUGUUCUUAGGACAUUCUUUCAUGAAGUGACCCUCUUGACCUCACUUGAAACAUCCAGUAGACCCAUCGCGACAAGCACUUGGGUGGUUCCUACCACACUUGGCACAUGUAGGAGCCCAAUUACCCUUUUUUGCCACACUACCAUGAGACCGAGCAGGUCUAGCUCUAAAAUUCUGCGAAUUCUGACUAUUAUACUCACCUUUGUUCCUUGGUGCAGGUGCACUAGCAGAUGAUGGAGCAGGUCCCUUUUGCUUUUGUUGAAAGGAAGACCGGUUCACAUUACUCCUUUCCUGCCCAGACUUAUUCCCUAUCUUAGCUUUCUUGUUUCUAAAAUUUUCACUAUCCCUCAGCUUCAAUUCCUCAACCUGCUGCACAUAAACCAUAACUCUCGCUAUGUCCAUGUCCCUAUUAGCAUCGCUACCCUUCCCUCCUUACUAGACAGACGAGACAACCCAGCAACAAACAGACUCAUCUUGCUCCUAAUAUCAGCAACCAUCUUCGGAGCAUAUCGGGAAAGUUGGGUGAACUUCAAACUAUACUUAUGAAUACUCAUAGAUUUCUGCUUAAGGGUAAGGAAUUCUCGUACCUUGGCUUCUCUCAGUUCACGAGGAAAGAAACGCUCCAAGAAGGCUUCCUCAAACCUAGCCCAACUCAAAAUCGGUGCACCCUCAACUCUACCCUUCUUCCACUAGUCCAACCAAGUCCUAGCAACACUCUUUAGUUGAUAUGCAGCUAGUUCCACUCGCUUAGCAUCAGCAACGUGCAUAACCUCAAACACCUUAUGCAGUUCCUCAAUAAAGUUUUACGGAUCCUCAAUAGUGCUUGAACCAGUGAAACUUGGAGGAUUCAUCCCUAGAAACUCAUGGAUCCUUGAAGCAUCAUUCACUUCAUGUCGGUUUUCUCUCUGUCCAGCUAGAUUGGUCAUGGCUUGACUAUACAUUCUGAUCGCUUCCCUGAACUCAGUAUUGGUGACCUCUCCUUGGGUCGCACUUCAGGUGUGUAGUUGGUACCCCUUGUUCCUCGACAUUCCUCCUAGCAUGACAACCUCUGACAGCUCUUCGUGGAGGCAUGAUCUGAAAGACAUGCGCAAGCACGAGUUCGAAGGAAACCUUAUAGAGAUUAACUAUAUCGCACAAAAUGAAUAUGAAAGAAGUGAGAUAGUUCCUAAAUGUUGUAGCCUCCUAAUUAUAGAUGUAGCGCGCUUCACACUGACAACUAGGACUCUACAGACAUAGCUUCAUAGACUCCCUAGGAAUCUUAAACUUUGUGCUCUGAUACUAAGUUUGUCACACCUCGAGCCUACACCUUGGGUGGGACUGGCACUUGAGAACCAUUUAUGGCCCCAAGCGAACCCUUGGCUUGGCUUACUACUCAGCGAAAGACUUUACUCAACAAAGAUAAAUCCAUGAAAUAAACUAGAAUGUUAAUAUUCAACUGGCCAUAAAGGCAAGCUCAAGUCUCAAUAUAACAGAAAGGAAAUGUAAAGACAAAUGAACUAACUAGCAGUCUAUGAAGCCUCAAAACUAUGAGGGAUGUCGGGACAAGACCCCCAAUCAUCCUAACAACUGAAAUACUAAAACAAUGUAAACAGAGAUCCUCCAGAAAGUAAGGAGUCAUGAAACGACUCUGAAUGCUCAACUGGAUCAACAAGGCGCUAGAUGUUGAUCUUGAUUACCUGUAUUUGCAUCAACAAUACAUAAGCUUGAACUGGAAUCUGAAAUAAACACUUACCUCAACUUUACUCAACUCAUGGAUACUCAACCUAAUACAGAAAUAAACAAUAGUAAAGGUGCAAUUUAUAUGAAGCAUUUAAAACAGUAGAUGACAACUCAAAGUAUUGUAAAAUACCAUAACAUCUUUGUUGUAUAUAAGAAUACAAAAACAAAUUUUGUUUGGGAGAUUCUCUAAUCGUAAACCAUCACUAUGAGCUACGUGAUGAUACAGCGUCUCGCUCACCCUGCCAGAACUGUCCUAUAACUUGACGGGAUAUAGAACGCCUCAACUAAGUGGAUCUACUGGUCUAUGCUAAAAACCAUUAAGGAAUCAUCUAAAAAGUAUGACCCUUUCUACCCACGUUGGCUACAUGGUUUAUGGAGACAUUAAGUUGUUAUGAACUCAUCCCCACGUUGGUGCUAAAUACUACUCCUAAAAUACUCAUCUCAUAUGUUUAAAAACAAAAACUCUUUCUGUGGUUUGAGAUAAUUACUGAAAAACUAGCUCAAAGGCUUUCUUGGAAAUUAGUGUUCCCUCUCUUGUUUAAAUGUGAAAACAUUUACUCUUUGGAAAUACUUAGUUCUCAUAUACUCUUUUUGAAGAACUAAACUUCAUUUGUUACUCUUACUUAACUCAAAACUCAAGUCUUAAAACAAGAUUAAAACAUCUGUAAAAGGCUUAUUGAAAGGACUCUAAGAACUUUCUAGACUUGGCUCUUAACUUUCCUUGAAUUUAAAUUUAUGGAUUCAAGGUUAUGAAUAUGAUUCAUGUUUAUGGAUGAUUUCUAUGUGUUUAGAAGUCAUUCAGAGUAGUUAUAAUCAAUAGGAAGUGUUAGUACACUUUAGAAGGACUCAAACGGGCUAAACGACGAAAAAUGGGUUGGGGCGGAUGACCCUGGCGCGCCGCACCAGCCCCAAAGUUCAGAGAGACAUUUCUGGCGCACUGCUGGCGCGCCGCCCCAGCCUUCUUGGCGCUACGGGGGCGCACCACGCCAGCAUCCCCCCAGUCAAAUCUGACAAAUUUUUCCUCUCGUUUUCAAACCUUUAUCCGAUUAAUUUUGAUUCUUUUUCUCAAUAUUUCUUUAGAUUCAGAUACCCAAAACAUGCACACAAAAAUCUAACUCAAAACAACUCUUGAAAUAGACAAAAAAUGUCUCAAGAAACUCAUCAAUCCCAUAUAAGUUCAAGAAUGAAAGCAAUUCAAGAACACAACUCAAGAACAUCAAAUCCUCAAUCUUUUAGGACAAAAAUUACACUAAAAUAAAUAUGUUUGGCACGUGGGUGAACAAACUCAACGCUAUGUGAACUCACAUACCUCGUAGGAUCAAAUCCUUGGCGAAAUCCGCAAUCAAUUCCUCAAGAAUCUAGAUCUUUUCUUCUUCUUUCUCCUCUUGAGUUCUUUCUCGAAAAACCCUAGCGUGAUUUUCAAUUGUGUAAACUGAACCAAUUCAGUUUAGACCCCAAUUUAAUUAUCAGAAGCGAAUUUAAUUAAUUGGGUAGUGAAAAGACCAUAGUACCCUUCUAAAAUCUGAUUUUGACUUUCCUUAUCUAGACAGCCCGACUUCAAAUGGGCAUAUCUUCCUCAUACGCACUCGAAAAUGAGAAAACUCGAUGGUGUUGGGAUGAUAAUUCAAAGAUAUUUCCUACGGUAUCUUGUAGUCCACCUAACUCAUCAUGUGCUAGGAGUUAUUGUAGUUUGAAGUUGACCUAAAACUCAUACUUAGCUUAACUUGUCAAACUUUUCAAAUUUGAUUAUUUCCAAAAACAGGUUCUUUCAAAUUCUAGCUCUUUCUAGUGCUUUCAAAUAGCGAAGUGUUACAGUUCUCCUCAAGUCUAGAUUAUUACUUCACAAAAUAUUAGCACUUAUUCUAAGAGAAAAAUCAUGCUUUUGACUUUAACUAUAUAUAAACGAAAUUUUAAAUAAAUUAGAACAACAAUAUCAUUUCAAAUCUUUCACUAAUUUAUUUAUUAAUCAAGGAUCAAUAAAUAUAAGAUGAAAAGAAAUAAAUAACUUUAAAAAAAUUGUAGGGCCGGAUUGUUGGGUUGUGCUACGUAUCUCCAAUCUUUUGAGAAUUCGAUUUUUGUUGCGGGGCGAUUGGUUUGUCGGAUCAGGGACCAGUGAAGAGUUAUAAAAUUGAUUUUGAGAAGAUGAAAGUGAAAAGAUUUUGGGAAAGUUAACUUUUCUUAUAAAGUGUAAGAAAAAGUUACACUUUAUAAAGUGAAAUUUUUUUUCGUUUUAUGUUAAAAUACAGACGUUAACAUACUAACGUUUGCAGUUUAUAUUUUCAGUAAAAUAGAAGAAAAAAUUACACUAAUCUAUUUUAAUUUCUUUCUAGAAUAAUGACUUAUUUUGAUUACUUUUCUCUCUGUAUAACUCAAAAAAUGUUCCGAACUCCUAAUGGAGCAUAUUAAAGUCUUCGGUGAUUCAAAUUUACGGUGCAACUGCCCCUAGGCAAAUGACGAAGUUGUGUAACAGAUAGAUUUCAAAUUUUUUUUAAAAAGGCGUCCCAAUCCAGCCCAUAGGUGGAGAAUUAUGUCAAAACCGUGUCACCUUACAUACGUGUCCAAAUUCCAUUGGUUGUCAUGCUCGAAAUGGCAAAUUGUGGGAAAUGUCUUUAGCACAUCAUAAUUAAAUUUUUCAGAGAAGUUACUCCAAACAUCUUUGUGUAGGUUAAAGGAGAUAUUUGUUAAAAUGUAUAUUAAUGGGCAUGUUCGUACGAACGAAAAUAUUUUGUAUAAUUUUUUUCGUGAAAAAUAAUUGAGUUUUUAUUUUAUUUGAUGUGUUUUAGUUUAUUUGCUCUAUUUUCCUUUUUAGUUCGUUAAAAAAAUAAUAUUUUUUGGUGAUUCUUUAAUCUCUACUUUUUAUGUGACAUGUUGAAAGACAAUAAAAUUAAAGAACAUUUUAGUAUUUAAAAUGGCAUGAUACAAAAAAUUUCUUUAAUUUCUUAAAUUCCGUGUCAAAUAUAAAUAGAACAAACAAAUUGAAACAAGGAGAGUAUUUAAUUUUAGCAUUUGACAAGUAAUUAAAAAUAUUGUCCUAAGAAUAUUUAUAUUUAAUUUAGCAAAACACUGUCGAAAUAAGAUAGGGUUUGGAACGGUGAUGAGACAAUGAACAUAAAUUGUCACGUAUGAAACUUAUUUAUUUCUUAUUUGUUUAGAAUUUCCUCAUAUCUUAAGAAGUAUUUUCUCAAAGAAAAUAAUUUUCAAAACAUUUUAACCAAUCCAAACAUAAAAUGAAGUAUUGUCACGUAUGAAACUUAUUUAUUUCUUAUUCGUUUAGAAUUUCCUCAUAUCUUAAGAAGUAUUUUCUCAAAGAAAAUAAUUUUCAAAACAUUUUAACCAAUCCAAACAUAAAAUGAAGUAUUGUCACGUAUGAAACUUAUUUAUUUCUUAUUCGUUUAGAAUUUCCUCAUAUCUUAAGAAGUAUUUUCUCAAAGAAAAUAAUUUUCAAAACAUUUUAACCAAUCCAAACAUAAAACGAAGCUAGAUGAUAGUGUUGAGAGCAGCCAAAAGUGGUAGAGACAAUCAUGUAAUGUGUGAUAGGGUGUAGGGCGUACCUAAGAUGUUAAUAUGCAAAGGGAAAACCCAUAUAAGCGAACGAAGGUUGCAGUUGUCAAAUUCAGAGCAAUGUCAUUCACUAUAUUUUCCCAUAGACAUGUAACGUGUUCGUCCAUACAUUGAGGAAAUAUUCACAAGGAUAAUGUUACUUCAUGGAUGAAACAAUGAACUACUGUUUCUACAUCUCUCAAGGAAUAGUGUACUGAGAUAGGAAAACAUCAAGGCACAGAAAUUUUGAGCUUCCUUCUCUCUACGUAAUAACUAAAAAUAUACAUCCAUCCUCAAGUUAUUCCCUGCUCCACUACGAAAGAUCACCUUCCAAUAUCCUCAUUUCAUUAAUAUCGACAUUCCUGCAUCCAUUCUCUAAACAUUGCCGGGAAGCUUCCAUCUUAUGACGUAGUAAACAAUCAAUCACCAUUCAAGUGUUUAAAUUGCUUCAGAAAAGUUUCCAGUCUGCAAUUAAAAAUUCAAGGAAUGGAGUGAAGAGGAAUUCUGGGACUACAUCCUGGAAAAUCACAUAUAAGGGGGCAGAGCAGAGUGUCUCAAAACCCCCCACCAGCCAUCCUUGACAAGAAAAGACGACCAGUGGAAGAACAAAACAAAAUGCAGUAUAAAGCUAGAUUACUACAGUAAAAUUUAAAAGAUGAGUAUGAAUGUCCAAAAACAGGUUAAGCUGAUUUCUACUUAUAAAACAGGUUUCUUAUGAGUACCUUAGUUCAUAGGUAUACUAAGGUUUCCUUCCAAAUUAACAGAAUACUUGUGACUUAAUCCAAGCAAAGACUUGAGCAACUUCAAUAUACAUCCAUUGUAACAUGUUCUAGACAGAUGGAUUGAAAAAAUCAUGACAAUGCUUAACAAUGAAACACUCUUAAAAAAGCCCACAUACUGUGAAGCUAUUUGUUGCUGGAAAAGAAAUAAGUCAAGAACCAUACGUGAGAUUAUCGCCUCAUACAGCUCCUCAGAGGUCACAUAUAAAUCUAAUGACCUACUGUACACUCAGUAAUCGCAACCAUAAAAAAAGGUUUUAUUCUCAAGUAGGUAAACAAAGUGCCCCACAUAUAGGAUUACAGUGGAUAUGUUGUUAUUGUUGUAGGUAAAACAAAAUGUGGACUUGUUAAAGGAAAAAAAAUUCAAGUACCAAGAACUGUUGAACCUUCCCUCCUUUAGAUUCACAAGAAAUAAUCCAUAAUUCCUUCCACAGAUUGUAUUUUCAAAACCAUACAUGUCUUACCUCUAAUCUGUAUGCUUAUAUGACUAUGCAAAUGCAACUCAAUACAACAACAACAUAUGAAGUUUGAUCCCAUAAAAAUGGGAUCUGGUGAGGGAGGGGUCUAGCAGACCUUGAGCCUACCGAGGGUAAGUUAGAGAGGUUACUUGGGAUAAGACCAUCGGUUUGAGAAAAGCAUUUUCAAAAUAGGUUUGAGAUAUGUUGAGAAAAUGUGAAGAAGAGUAAACUAUUGACAACAAAAAAUAGAGAUCCAAAGUAAAAAAGGAAUAGCAGCAGUAGUAAAAUGGAGGAAUGAUAAUACUAACACAAUAGUAGUGAGACUGUUAAUGGAAAGGGGAAGCGAAUAAAGUGUUUUAAACUAGCACCAAGCAAAUGCAACUCUAACAAUGAUAAUUUACCUUAACAGCUUACGAGUACAUGAUGAAAAGUCUUUCAUUUUAAAGCCUCAUUUACAUCCAGAGCGAACUUGCAAGAAUAAACAUAUUAAACACGAACUCAUUUUGACCUUGUGUCUAUUAGCGAUAUACUUCCAACUAUUUCUGCAUAAGCCAUGUGAAAAUAUCAAGCAAUACGGUGUCCUGAUCAUAAAAAAAGUGGUGUUACGCAAUUUGAUAUAUGCAAAAGAGAAUCCCAAGAAGCCAGGUCAAACUAAAAUACCAUGAAAUCCGCACGCAACUACUACUCUAAUAUACAUAAAGCCCUUAAACAGAAUUCUCACUACCAGAAGUAAUCCAAACCGUCUCCUGAUUGGAACCUUGAGUUGAAAUUGUACAAAUUUAACUAUGGUUGUAUUUGAUUAUUCACAUAGUACGUAAAUAUGCAUAAAAUUUGGAUCAUGCAGUAACUUGUGCAACUUUACAACAAGAAGAACAUACCCAAUGUAAUCCCACAAGUGGGUCUGAGGAGGAUAGUGUGUGUGCAAAACUUACCCUACCUUGUGAGGUAGAGAGGUUGUUUCUGAUAGACGGUCGGCUCAAGUAAAAGCAUUACAAAGCAGUGUGAAAAAAGAAAACAACCUAAACUUUUUGCUAAUUUAACAUAAUGCAAAUUCCUCAAAAGGAAAUUGAUAUUUUCACAGUACAGAAAAAAUACAAGAAGACUUUAAGGGACAAAGGUGCAAGCUCCAACUUAUCCAGAUAUCGAAAUUAAACAUUAGAAGGACUGGAAGAUAUUUCCGGUAAGAUUUACUGAGUUAAUUUGACUUCCAUUUUCUUCUACAAGGAAAUAUGUUGUAUCCAGUUCCAAAUAAUCGUUUACUACUGUCCAAGCCAAGCUCCUCGAUUAAUGUAUAAGUCAAAAAGUCUACAUCGUUCCCAUUUAAUUCAACUAUUAGAAGGACAUAAAAUAGGGUACUUAUCUGUUGAAACCACAAUAUGUGCAAACCUAGCUAACUGAACUCUGUCAACAAAAUUGUAAAGAGAUUGAAAUCUUACGGUGAAAAUCUUUUCUUGGUGAGGAGGGAGAAGAUAAAUGAGAGAAAAUAGCUCGUCCAAUCAUAGUCAAACUGUAAACAAUUCCAGCAACAUAAAAGAGCAUAAUCAAAGCAAGCACCCAUGGCAUCAUUAAAAAGCCAAUAAAGAAAGUGACGGAUCCACAAAGCAUCAAAGCAAAGGAUAUUCCCAAAAGCAGAGAUGCAAAUCCGGCCGGAGUAAUUUGGUGCAUCGACCCAGCGACAGCCAUCCUCCUCCCUGAAGAGGAUGGAGACAUUGAGGAAUCAUCGUAAAACUCAAUCGGCGCCGGUGGUGAUCGUAUAAUAUUUAAAAUCAAAGAAGAAAGUUGUUCUAAAACCUUAGAUUGUUGAUCCUGUUGCCUUCUCAUCAUAUUAGAAUGAAAAAAACAAGGCAAAUGGAUAAAGACGUGAGGUAGAAUUAUCUACCCAACAAUAUUAAAGCCUCUAUCUAGGCUUUUUGUUUGUUUUCCUUUUGCCCUGUUUGGAGAAUUCAAAAAUUAAAAUUUAUUGCAUAUAAGGGAGAGAGAGAGUUGCUUUAUGUUGAAGGUAUAGAUUUUUGAAAAAGUAGAGAAGAAGGAGAAGAUAAAGGAUUGCCCUAAAUUCGGUGUGUUGUACGCUGCUAUGGGCGAUUGUGAGGAUAACUUAUCUACAUUGACACUCCAUCACCAUACGUGCAUUCUAACAUUAUAUAUAUGAGCGUGUUUAUUGGUAAACAUCAAUUAUGAUGUGCUGACUCAACAUUACAAUACUAUUUUGUCCAAAACCAAAAAAGAAAAA
This 54923-nucleotide long non-coding RNA is filed under the name Solanum tuberosum (potato). RNAcentral's name for it is "long non-coding RNA (STUB_LNC004772)". Lineage: Eukaryota; Viridiplantae; Streptophyta; Magnoliopsida; Solanales; Solanaceae. The record is from RNAcentral.